AAUGACCUCAAGAACUACUCAGGUUUUCACACAAUGGACAAAAGAAAACAGCCAAAACUGAUACUUAAACAGAUUUUUAACACGGGAAAAUAUCACUGAAAAAUUAAGUAAAAUUACUUAAAAUCAUCAAAUUGCAUCUAGUAUUUAAAUAAAAUAACAGGAGGUACAGUUGCAUAGAAGAAAUUUGAGUUGCUUCACAAGUUCGAAUUUGAAUAAUAAACAACAAUUAUGUGAACUUAAACAAAUGCAUGGCCAUGAUGCUUAAUUAUGCACAAAUGAUGCUCAUGUUAACAUGUUAAACUUGGUUUGCAACUUUGGGUCAUCACACUAGCAAUCAUCACACAUAGAUCUUUUGACAUAAGGAUUAUUUCUUUAUUUACAUGGGCCACAUUUCAGUAAAUAUAAUUUAACAUUCUCCCACUUGGGCCAUGAGAGAACAUUGAAAAUUCGAUAAGCAAUCAGGUGUACACUUUUCAUCGAAUUUAUCAAGUUGACCUUAACUUGAAAUUGAUCGAUAGAAUCAUGGCGAUCAUAAGUCAGUGACAAAAUUCAUUCCAUGUAUUACAAAUAAAAAAAAAUAAAAAAACAUUAUGUGGAAAAAAUUUGUUAUCACACCACAACAGUAAUUGUAUAAAUAUUUAUGUGGAUAACAUGCAAAACAAAAAUAGACUUUUAUUAAAUUCACAAAAACAUUAUGAGCAACACAUAUUCAUGUGUAUACACAUCACACUAGCAAGGUUUUAUCCAUAAUGCCCAUACUUUCUCCAUGGCCCAUGAAAGUCUUAGGCAGCAAUGCCUUUGUUAGCAAAUUGUUGACGCUCAUUAUUUACACAUACCUCUAUUUAUCUUCAAUAUUGGCAUACAAAUGAUAUCAUAAUUAUUGAUCAUACUCAAUAAUCAGGUCAUUUUCACAUAUGCAUUGUAUUUUAGAGGACAUUCUGUUUUCUCAGGAAAUUGGACUUAAUUGGAGCAUAAUUGGAUGAGGCUCAAGACAAGCAAUGAACCAGAUGAACAUGAAGACCAACGGGCUUAGAAAGAGCCAGGGCCGAUCAGCCUAUAGAGGCCCAAGUCGAUUGGCCCAGGGUCCUCUGGUGCCCAUUAGUUCUCAUGUUCGGCGAGAACUCCUCCAAGAAGACAUAGGGGCUAAGUUUCAAAAGAUAUGGCAAGUUCACUUUAGGAUAAAAGAUGGAAGCAAGCAAAACUUUAGAAUGAUAUCAAGAUCCAUACUUAUCCCGAGGCUAUCGACGUGCCAAGCUUGCAUGAAAGUAAAAAUAAAUUUCCUAAACAUCAGAGAAGACUUGGCAACAAAGCUGGACGCGAGGGGGUAAAAGGAAGGGUGAGGCCAAUCGGCCUGGACCCCCCUAGGCUGAUUGGCCCAGCCGUUUCCUUCGUCCGUUUGCCUUCCAAUUUAAACCAUGGGUCCUCCAGACUAUAAGUACCCUGAUUUUCUAUCGAGCACACAAAUGGGAUUGAAGAUUCAAAGCAGAAGGAGCCAAGAAACUUGAGGGAUAACCAUCUACAGAGAGCUGAGGGCCGUGCAGUUGUCCGGAGGCUAGCUUAGGCUAGGCUCUGGCUGGCGUGAUUACCAUGCGAGGAAGAUCCAUGCACGGAGUUUUGGAGCUAGAAUUCACAAGUUGUGGGCAUGACCUCAGUGGAGAUCUUGUGAUGAACAAUCAUUCAUGGUGAAGUAAUAGAUUGGUUCUGAUUCAAUAACGAUCUAUAUGUUUCCUUUUAUGACUUCUCUUGUUAUGAGUUUGCUUAUUCCAAUCUAUUUAUGUAGUAGAUUGCAUAGGGCAUUCUUGUAGUCAUGGUGACUAGAAUUGCAUGCCUCAUCUAUCAUAACAGCUAAACAUGCGGUUUAUGUUCAUGUCGUUAGACUGCUUUCACUGAUAGGCAGGAUCGUGAUAGGAUCGAUGCUGUGUAAGGUGGGGGUUUUCGGGAGUCAGAACGGAUGUAGUGAUUUAAAGAUACUUUGAAUGAGAACCAUGUGUUUGCUUUCCAUCUAGCUAGAACUACAACAUAUGCAUAGUCUAGGCUGUGCUCUAGAUGAGUUACCUAUUGUUCAUAUCUGCUCAUGCUUCUUAUCUAUCCGUGUUUAUUCAUGCCUAUUCACAAUCACUUUGCAACUCGAAUCAUGUUUCCUAAUGCUUAGUUAGUCUAGAUUGUGUGACCUUGUUUCCAUGGAUUGAUAAACCUUCAGGGAAUACUCUUAGGGAAAAGUUACAACUGAUCUGUGCGCUUGCGGUUCACAAAUUGGCAUGCUAUCUGCCAUCAACAAGCUUUUCUGGUGCCGUUGCUGAGGAAACAACUGAUCAAGUUUUAGAUUAACUUUUGCAUGUGUAAAUAUUUUUCUUGUUCAUAAUUUUCAUAUGAAUAUUUUUGUUGUAUAUUCUUGACCUUGUAUAGUUCUCGUAUAUGUUUUUCUAACCCUAAUAUUAGAUAGACUUGUUCCUCUCGAAAAAACAAAUAUUUUCUUUUCUCUUUGUGCAUGAGAAAAAAAUAAAAAUUGCAGGCAAAAUCAAACGAGCAGCUGCAGCAGGGACAUCAACAGUAAGCGAGCAGCUGGAGUAGGAAAAUCAACAGCCAAGGAUGAAGAACCACCACACAUACUCCAUCAAAGAAUUCAGCUGAACCUCAACAACAAGAAGCAAUAGGAGAACAGCCCGAACGCAAGCCUAGCGAGCUCUGGACACCGAGCAUCGAAGAUCUACCAAUCCUGAACAUAGCUAAAGUUGAAGGCCCGGUCGAGAUCAACACUUCAAUCAAUGAGAUGGUGAAGCACAACACGUUUGCUAGUAAGGAGGAUGCCAUUUGUAGUCCUUCCUACAGAUAUGCAACACCUUCAAAUUGGAUGGUAUCGACGACAAUUAGCUACGUGCAAGACUUUUCCCAUACUCACUACUGGAACAAGGCACUUCGAUGAUUUUACACUUUGCAAGCAUAAAUUGUUGAGAAAUUGGGAGAGCCUGGUGCAAGGAUUUUUUGAGAAUUGAAGAUGAUAAACUAGGUAUGCCGCUGUGUCGGAGUUUAGAUCCGGCAACCUACCGAGUGGGGUGCCUUGACGUAGUGUUUUGUAGUGGGGCUCAUCGAGAUCAGGAACUUGAAGGUAAAUGCAAACACAUGAUUUAGAUAGGUUCGGACCGCUGAAUAGCAUAAUACCCUACGUCCUGUGUGUUAGCUGGAUUGAAUUGCUUUGGAGGGGGGCCUGCCUCACCUUAUAUUGCCGGGGGCAGGGUUACAGGUCGGUUGGUUACAAGAAAACUAGUCAGAUUCGACUAGACAAGUUUUACUCGUAGUGUUAUGAGUACUUUUCCUAAUCCUCGACUAGUUCCUGUCUUGCCACGUAUACUACAUCAUCUUACGUCAUAGUGUCCGUGUCAGAUAUGUCUCGGUGUCUAGCCCCAUAUUAAGGAUUGUCCAAAGCUUCUGGUAGGCCCAUAGAUGUAUGUACGGCAAGCUCCCGAAUACUUUUUAGUGAAAUGCAGUAGUUCCAUGUACUUUUUGUAGACUUCACCGACUAGUUUUGGUGCUCUUCUAGUACUUCAUUAGUUUGAGUCUUCAAAGGGACCCAAAAACUGCCAUGCGGCUAGAAUGUGUUCAUGCCUCAUUUAACUUAGUCUUGUAUCCUUCAACCUCGAUUUUAUAUGGAAGUGUGACGAAAGUCGCACUCCAUAUGGAGUAGCCCCUAAGCCUUAGGUUGAAUCAAAGAAUCAAAUUGAGGGUCAAUCUACAAUUUGCAUCACUUUCCCCUUAAAAACCUAAAGAAAAACUUUUUGUCGCUGAGCACGUGGCACACAGUCCCCAAGCCUUUAUCCGACUAGUUUGGUGGGUAUAAGGGUCAACCUCUAGUCAACGUUACCAUUUCUGAAUGGAAAUCUUAUCUCUUCCGAAAAUAGAGGUAACUUCCAAUCAGGUGUCGCGAAAUCUGCGGAUCCAUUAAACCUGAAUAUUCCUUUAUUUACACUACCAUUACUACAUCACGGUUAUAAAUAACGGAGAAAAUUAUCCCUUCCAUUUUACCUUUUCCAUCUGUCUUUCCAACUCCCACGCUUUAGCCCCAGCACCGCCGCCGCCCGAUCUCUGAGCUCGCUAGUGCCACCGCCUCCCACCACUCAAUCCCUGAGUGUAUGCAACAGAAGAAACUCGUGGCAUCAAGGAUGGGGAGGAAAGCUGCUGCAUCCAAGGAGGUCGAGGGUGAGAAGAAGAAGAAGCUUGACAAGAAGAAGGAAUCAUAGUUGCCAGCACCCAAAUAUGGAAAAAUGGAUCAGACUGCGCCACCAAGUCCCGCUUGCACCUGGAAGCGAUCAUCUUUGAAAGAGGAAGAGAUCAAGGCACUUGUGGCCACCAAUAUGCUCCAAGAUCAAGACUUUAUCAAUUGGAGAUCUGUCUACGAUAACCCAUGGCCAUUGGAGGAAUACCCUGAUGAAACAGUAAUCUUCGCUCACUUUAUUGAGUGCUGCAUUGCCAGUGUCUGAUUUUUUCUGAGGUCUGCUGGAGUAUCCUAAGUUGGAUCUAGUUCACCUGAACCCCAACAAGAUUCUGCACACUGCUAUUUCUGUGCACCUCUAUGAAGCUUUCUUGGGGAUCAGGCCCCACUUCCAACUAUUCAGGAAAUUUUUCCGUGUAAAGCUGCAAUCAAAGAGGGAGCACAUCCAAGUAGUCGGAGGUGCCGGUAUCCAGAUGUGGGAGAAGCUCAGCAGCCUAUACCUGAAUUAUGAGUUGAUAGAUUCAAAUGUCAGGUGGAAGGAAAAGUUGUGGUACAUUGGCAACAACGAUCCCAAACUACCCAAGCUGAUAGGGCAUCACCCCAACUGGAACAACCAGUGGCUGGAUGAGCCAACUCAUAGGGAUUGCAUCCAACUGCCUGACCUCCUGAAUAGAAUAUCCAAACUGAAGCAAGAAGGGCUCACUGGAGUAGGGGUAGCCUUCAACUUUAUGAAGUGGUGAAUCCAGCCCUUACAACAGUGAUGCCACUGGGCUACGAGUACUCUGGCGUCAAUGAUCCAUCUAGACUGUCUCCUAAGGAGCUCACCACAAAGGAAAUUUUAGUGAGGUUGAAGUGGAUGUCCAAGAAUGUGGGCGAUAUCCUCACCAUUGUGCGAGAAUUCAGCGCUGCCAACCCACCAAAGCCUGUAAGUGUCUAUGGCUGUAGCCCCCAAGUACUUAUUUUGUAGUUUUUGGGUGUACUAACUUGCCUUUCUUUGCACGAAGAUGUCAGCUUGUACUUUUUUGCUCCUCCUCCUCCCGGAUCGGAAGAUAUUUGUGAAGCUGCUCCUUGCGUGCACACGGUGGAGAGCACUGAGACUGAUGACGACGAAGAGGAAGUACUUGAAGCCUCUAGCAGCUCUAGUUCUGAUGCUGCGAAGGACUUCGAAGUCAAAGCCCAGCCAUCUGAUAAGGCUGGGUCGUCCAUUGGAUCGAGGAAGCACAUAGCUAAUGAAGAUCUUGAAGCUGCAAUUCCUUCACCACCAAAGAAGAAGCAGUCCAUUGCUGCGAAGCGGGCUGUAAACAAGUUUGUCACUGCAGAAGAUGUGCCUCCCGCGGUAAUUACCUAUGACGAAGGACAAAAUCCUAAGGAUCGAGUACUCCUAGUAGGCGAUUUCAAUAUAACCACCGUGUCUACUCAAGAUGACUUUGGUGGCUUGCAGGUACUCGAGCCGAUGAUGAAUGCUAAGAAAGCAGCUGCUCUGGUCGUGCAAGAUAGGUUACUGAUCAUCGAGGAGGUGAUCGAAAUUGAAGAUGAUCCAGAACCUCAUGUCGCUGAGGUUGACCCUGCCAGUGUGAGAACUACUCGAAGAACAGAGGCAGUGGCUAAGGUUGGCAAUGAUCAUGCUGCGACCAUUCAAGCCGUGCCAAAGAAACUGACUCCGACCACCAAGCCGAUGUGCCUGACAGGAGAACCCUCUUUGAAGUUGAGGAUAUCCACAAGGUAUGUCUUGCUGCUCCUUUGAGUACUAAUUGUAGCCCAUGAUCGACUUCAUUGUGUCUUUGAAGCUUUGCCUUAUGCAAAAAAUCCUCUGAUGUGGACCUCCGAGGGCCUAACGAGAGGUCCAUGACUAAUGGCGGUAGCCACUCAGUCCAGGAUGCUUCCCCAGUCCAAGCUAGUCUGCAACCACAGGAACACCCUGCAACAACAAGUAAUCCAGGUGUUGUUCUCUUGUAGCAGCGUUGAUGCAAGAUGUUAUAUCAUCUUUGAUUGAUGUUGUAGUACAAGCCCCCAAGCAACAAGUAUCUAAAGAUGUGGUGGUGACUACCUCUAGCACCGUGGCUACGCUCAUAGCCCCCGAGCCAGAGGUGAAAAUUGAAGCGGCAACAGUGUUGGAAGUCAUGGCUGCCAACAUGUCUUCCGAGCCAGGUCCGUCGACAAGCCUUGCUAUGGUUCCUCUUAGUAUAACUGAUUCUGAAACUCAUGCGGAUCCACUGGCGGCUGGAGAAAUUAGUCUUGAAGAUAUCUAGUUGAUCGACGACCCUUUGCUGAACACGGACAUGGUAGCUGGAAUGAUGGAGAUGCACCGUCGUAUUGGUGCUUAUGUAGAGGUAUGCUUGAUCCAGUUUCUUCCAUAACUUGUAAUUAGCACCCAUGCCUUGAUACAAGUACUUAUUCUGUGGUGCAGGAUGUCAUCAAAUGCUCCUGUUGAAAGUCUCAGAUGCUUCAAGGCUAUAGGGACUCAGUACUCCAUGCUGAGACCCUUGAAAAGGAACUUGCUAAAGAGAGGGAGUACUCCUCCCGAUUGCUGAUGAAGUACAAUGUGGCUGUUGCUGAGCAUCGGAACCAUAUCUAGCAACUUGAGGAGGAAAAUGUAAUAUUCCAAAAAUUUGUAAUAUUUGUAUGAGUGAAAUUUGCAAAGAUUUAAAACUUUGUUUGAAUUGUGUGCUCAUUUAAAAGUGCUAGUUAAUUUCUCUCUCAUCCCUAAAUUCCAUUUAAAAAUUUGUGUGGAUUGAGUUGGAUCUUUUUGGAUUUUAUUUGGAGUUCAUGUUUGAGUUUUGUUUGAAUUUGGAAUUCAAUUAAAAAUUCAAACUAAAUCUGAAUCUAAAUCUAAAACUAAAUAAAAACCCAAAACAAACCUAACCUCCUAACCAGGCUAGCCCAUUAACCCCAGCUCGCCCAUGCGCGCCUUCACCCUUGCGUGGCCUAGCUCGCCAGCUUGCUCGCGCUUCGCUUCGGCCCAGCCGGCCGCUCGGGCAGUGCUGGCCUAGCUCGCACGUGCUCGCGCCCGCCCGUGCAUGCUCGCGCCUUGCCCGACCGAGCAGGCCAUUGCCGCCCCUGCGUAAUGCUCGCUCACUCACACCCACUCCCUUCUCUCUCUACCGCUCGGGCCUGCAUGCCAGCCGUUGUCCUAUUCCCCUUUCUUCCCCAACCGCGGCAUGCCCAUGGCGCGUGUGCACCCGCCGCUCCCGUGAGCACACACUACCGUGCCCGUGAGCUUUCGGAGGCUUCUGCCGUGGGGGAAAGGACUGCGUUGCCCUUGCGUCGUACCCCGGAACCCUAGUACGGCGUUGUCCAAUAGGCACCACAUUGCCCCCUAGCUCGCUUGUUGAGGAUCAAUGGUGCUCGCCAAUAGCACCCCGCUGCGCAAACCCUAGCCGGGCUUGGGCUAUAAAUAGAGACCCCGGGCACCUCCUUGCCAUCCCAAACCUCCAGGGCUCUCCCCACCGCUGCUGCAACUGAGAAGAGGAAAGAGCCGAGGGGAAGAGGAAGGAGCGGGGGAGGAAGAAGGAGGAGGAGAAGAGGAGGGGCAGGAGAAGAAGAAGAAGGUGGAGGAGAGGAAGAGAAGGAAGGAGGAGGAGGAGACCGCCAGGUGCUGAAGCCACCGUCAUCCGAGCACCGCUGCCCAUGAAGCCGGAGCCGCUGGAGCCACCACCACCCAUCCGGCGCCAUCUUCGUCGACCCUCGCCACGAGAGCCACCCCAUUUCCACUCCCUUGCCUCUCUAGCUUCCGUAGCCUUAGCUGUAGUAGUAGCUGCCGCUCGCCGCCGUUGUGGCCGUGUCGUGGCUAGGGGAUGCCCCGAGCCUGCGCGCAAGUGCUAACCGCGCCCGUCUGCGUACGCCCUCGCGCACGUCGUGCCACGCCGCUUGCACUCACGCGCUCUCGCCCGCACCGCCGCACCCUAGCCGCAUACCACGCACCAUCGGCCGUGCCGUUGGUAGCCCACGUGGCACUGAUGUGGUAAGCUGGGCCCAGCUGUGGGGCCUGCUAACAUCUGACCCCGUGGGGCGCACUCUCGAGUGGGGCCCACAUUGACCGUUCAUGUUGACCGUUGACCGGUCAAUGCUAACGUCAGCAUGAUGUCAGAAAGACAUGUGGCACUCCUUCGGGGUACCACGUGGACCAAUCACUCGUUGACACAUGUCACCUUUUAAUAAAUAUUUUAUGAAAUUGUUUAAUAAUUAAAUAAAUCCUUUAAUCUUUAAAAAAUCGUAACUAAUUCAUUUUAACUUUGAAAAAUAUGAAACCAGUUGCAUUAAAUUUGUAAAAUCGAGUCCGUGCUAUUUGUAGCUAGUUUAGUAUUAUUUGGAUCUUCUAAAUUUGGCUUUCUUGGAGUUUUUACCUAGAUGUAAUGCCAUUUAAUUUAUGUUCUGUCGUAUCUCAUUCUGUUCAGACCUGAGCUAGAACUAGGAUGACCUUCAAGACCCUGGCUAUGCCGGACCCAAUCAACUACGGACAAGGUGUCAUGUCACUCCCAAUAAUAUAGAUCCUAUGCAUGCUUAGUUGCUAGCGCUUUACGUACUUAUAUUGCUUGAUGAUGAUGGAUUUCAUAGCCAAUGUUUUUAGCCAUGCCUUGAUAAUUGUUUAUCCUAUUUUCCUUAUUUACCUACUUUUGUGGACUAUCUAUAGACCCCUAGCUAGUACACCACUCAUAUAUCCAUAUACAAGGUUUUGAAUUAUGGAUGGGCAUUUGCCAUGGAUUUGGUGUUGGGAUUCCUUGAACACUCUCGCGUAUAUUUUGGGUGAGUGUGACUCCUUGAUGUGUUCUUGGUGGGAGCGUGCCAUGGUUGGUGCUAAGGAGUGCCUUGCCGGGAGAGAGCUUUCUGGACUCUUUCACCUCUACCUAUGGUGGGCACCUUGUUUGUUACUAAGGAGCAGGUGGCAUACUUGUAUGUUGUAGGUGCUUCGGCACAUACUUGUUGGUAGAGUGCUCGCUCUCAGCCACUUAAGGACUGAGUCAGUUUACCGCCAGUCACAGCAGCUACUUUUUGUACUUACCGCUUGCUUACGUUAUGGGCGGGGUUCAAUCCGAGACUAGUAGUGGAUAGUGCUUUGCCUGGAGGCGGAUUGGAGGAUCAUGUAAGGAGUUCGAGGCGUUGGCCUGCUCUGACCAGACUACACCCCGGCGUGGGUAGAUUUCAUAGAUUUGAGGUCCUCAUUGGUGAUGGUGUGCCCUGUAGUUGGGGACAGUUCUAGACUCGAAGAAAUAGGAGAGAGCUAUCCACUUGCUAGGGCUUCGGCUGUUAGGUGGGGUUCGGACAGAUCGCUACCGUUCAAGCUCCAUCCAUGCGGGUACAGUUGUACAUCCUUUGCAGAGUGUAUAAAACUAUAGCUAUAGUCUAUGUCCACUGAUUAUGGACAGUGUUGUUGACUACCACUACUUCUGACUAGACUUUUCUUAUGCUUCUAGCUUCCCUCUUUUGAGAUAGGCCAGCAUUUGUUGUUGAGAUAUGAGGGUAGGGAGCUCUCAUAUCACCUGGUGUGUUUGGGUGCUGGACCCUUGGGUGAUGGAUCUGGUGAUUUGUGCUGACUUCCUUGUUUGAGAUGUUGACCUCGGGGAUGAUGUUGCUUUGCUGCUUCCUUGAUUGCUGCUGCUGUUGCAUAAACCCCUACGACUUCGAUAGUGACGGCUGGGAAGACUAGGGACAAUUCUUUGCUCAAGUCGCCUCUUGAGAUGGAGUUCGCCAUAGCUUAUGUUUCCGCUACGUAGUUGUUUUACCUUUCUAGAUUUAGUCUUGAUGGACUUGUACCGGCAUGUGCCGCUGAGAUGUACUCGUACUGAUGUUAACUAUGAUGUUUGUACUCAUUUCCUCUUUCUUUUUCUCUAUUGGUAUGGAUCUGUACUCUCUAAGAUACGGAUUCGCACGUGAUAGCCUUCCUGGGACUAUCACCGAGGUGCGUAGGCUUGAAUUCUCAAAAAUGGGAAUUUGGGUCCGUUUCAGAAAAAGACCAUCUCAAGGGGCGCAACAAGUCAAUGAACCAGCAAAUCAAAGGUAAUUGCUCUCCUUGUUGGACUUCGAGUACUAAUUUUGUUUGUAUACUAAUCCUCUUUGUGUAUUAUUCAUGCAGUGCUUGAAAAGUUGAAAGAAGAUCUCCAGGGACAAGUCACCGAUUGGAAGAACGUGGAUUACUACAUGACUGAUUAGCAUGAUAAGCUAGUAUAGAGAUGAAAGAACCUGGAGCAUCACGUGGAAAAAGAGAGGAAAAUGCGCGAACAUGGUGAAGUCAACUUGGUCAAUGCCAUGAAGACCAUCCAGGAGCGAAGCUAAGUUGGAAGCUGCAAAACUUGCUCUAAAGGAGAUAUCUGAAGUAGCCUAGACAAUAGCGGAUAUGGUGGAGCCUCCAGUUGAGGGUGUAGAGCCCCGUCCGCUGUCUGAAGUACUCAAGGACGUGCGAGCAAAAUUCUCUAGCUACAUUCAGAAGAUGGCGAAGUAUGUCUCCAAGAAACUACUGAGCUUCAUCAAGUUCUUCUAUCCUCAAGCUAAUCUGACUCCUGUUGCGGAGGGUAUAGCAGAGGACUGUUCGGACAAGCUUUUUUUGCAGUACUUGCAAGAGAUCCUAGUCCUUGAGUAGUUCUGUAUCAAAACAUAUAUUAGUUCUUGUGUUGUAAACAUAAUAUAAAUGCUUUGAAAUAUAAAUAAUUCUAAGUCUUGUUGCAAUCUCUGCUGCUUUCAACUUGUUGUUUUAGUGCAUCUUACGAUCUUCCCUGAUAUUUGCUCAUAUGGUAGAUGUAAGUGUCUGUGCACAAGGCUUCUUUGAUGAGCCUCUUCAGAUACACGAUGUAGAGUAUUUAGGAUGCGACUCCUUUUUGUGGAGUACGAGUAUCAAUGAGUUAACUAACUCAUGAAUUUUACUAUAGACUUGCUUUGCAAGCCACGAUUGGACAAUUUUGUCCAGUGAGUUGAAGAACUCAUUAAAAUUUUGCAGACUUGUUAUUAUAAGCCGCAUAUGCCUAGGGAGCUGAAUAGCUUGCUCUAGUUAUGCAGACUUGUUUAUUACAAGCUUCGAUUUGGGUGAUUCUGCUUAGAGAGCUGAAUAGCUCUAUGAACUUGCUUCUGCAAGCCGUAAUUAGGCAGAAAUAAGUAGUUGAAUUAUGACAAAAAAUAUAACUACUUUAUUGAAUUGUGAUUCUACAACUAGGACUAAUUGCGAUGUACAUGAAUAUGUAAAUUAAAAUUUAGGGGUAAAAUCAACAGAGUUGCUCGAUGUUCCACAAGUUGUCGACAUCUUCACCGGAGAGAUGUUGGAGUCUAUACGACCCAAGUCGAGUGAACUUAGAGAUGAUGAGCGGUCCCUCCCAUGGUGAGUUUAGCUUGUGCAGCACCUUGGUGUCUUGGAUACGCUUGAGGACCAUAUUGUCUAUAUUGAUUGAACGUUCUUUAACAUUGCGAUCAUGAUAGCAGCGAAUUCGUUCAAGGUACCUUCCAAACUGGACGAGUGCUAUAUAGGGAGCUUCUUCGAGGCUGUCUAAGUCUAGGCGCCUUGUUUCUUCUAUUGCGCCCUCCUUGUACUGCUCGACUGUUGGAGAUUUCCACAUGACGUUGAUGGGAAGGACAACUUCGGAUCUGUAGACCAGAAAGUAGGGUGAUUGUCUUGUUGGUUUGCAUGGCUGGGUACGGAGCCCCUAGAGGAUAUUGGAUAGUUCUUUGAGCCACUUGCCUCCUUUCAUGUUUCUGAUAUCGUGCAACCUUUUCUUGAGACCUUCCAGUACCAUCCCAUUAGCAUGCUCAACCUGGCCAUUGGUCCACGGAUGAGUGAUAGACAUAUCAGACGUCGAUCCCACUGUUCUCGCAGUAGUCCCAGAACUCAUGAUUGUUGAAGUUGGAGCUCGGAUCUAUGAUAAUGUGAUUGGGGAAGCCGUAGCAGUGGACAAUUUCAUCAAGGAAGUUGAGUACUCUGUCUACCUUGGGGCAGGUUACUGGCUUCACGUCGAUACACUUGGUAAACUUGUCAAUUGCCGCCAGUACUCGAUUGAAUCCUCCAGGCACCAUGGGGAAUAGGACAAUCAUGUUGAGCCCCCAUCAUGCUGUUAUUUGGUGAUCAACUUGUAGGCAGGGACGUGCUGUUAUUUGGUGAAGAAUUGGCAUCUCUAGCAUCGGUAGACUAGUUUCUCUACGUCAGCAAGACUUGUAGCCCAAUAGAACCUAGCUCUGAAAGCUUUGCCCACGAUCGUUCAUGAGGAUGCGUGGUUGCUGCAAAUGCCUUUGUGGAUUUCCUCCAGUAUGUCCUUGCCGUCUUGCCGUGAGACACACUUCAUGAGUACUACUGAUGAUGCACCUCUUCUGUAAACCUUGUCUCCGACUAAAACAUAAUUCUUGCUGUGUCGUAAGACUUACUCUGCUUCUGUUUUGUCUGAAGGUAACUUGUGCUCUUUGAUGUAGUCCAUGAAGGGGACUCUCCAGUCUACAUCGAUCAUCAUGCCCUCUCGAUCUAUGGCAGUAAGACCUCGAUCAGUGGUUGUUGAUGAUGCCGGCUCCAUUAUGGAUGGCUUGUGUAGCUCAUGGACGAAAACCCCUACUAUAACUUGAGCAUGAGUAUAGCUUGGAUAGGAAAUCUGCGGCAACGUUGUUGUCACAAACUAAAUGCUGGAACUUCAGAAUAGACAAUUUGUUCUCAAGCUUGCGUACUUCUAGGAAAUACACAUUCAUGUUCUCAUUGUGGCGAUCCCACUCAUUGUUGACUUGAUUGAUUACCACCAGUGAGUAGCCGUAGACUAGUAAUCGCUUGAUUCCUAGCGAGACUACCAGGCGGAGCACGUGCAGAAGCGCUUUGUAUUUAGUUUCAUUAUUGGAUACUUCCCAGAAGAUUUGCAUGAUGUAUUUGAGUUGUUAGCCUUUGGAAGAUAUCAAGAGUAGUCCUGUGCUAUCACCUUCAAGCUCGAGUGUUCAUCGAAAUACAUGACCUAAUGCUCUGGGACGCUCUGUAGGCAUUGGUAGUUGAUUUUCUUGCCACUCUAUCAUCAAAUUGAGUAGGGCUUGGGACUUGAUUCCAGUCCUUGACUUGAAUUCUCGGGACAAUGCUCUGAGUUCUACCGCCCACUUAGAUAUUCUCCUAAUUGUGGAGAAUUUCUCCCAGAGGGAAGUCUGUAACAGCGGAGAUGUUGUGCUCCUGGAAGUAGUGUCAUAGCUUUCGUGAGGUCAGCAGUAUUGCAUAUAGCAAUUUCUGGACCAGCGUGUAUCUGGCCUUGGAGUCUGACAACACCUCGCUGAUGAAGUAAACGGGCCUCUGUACUUUGUAUACAUGGCCUGGUUCUGAUCUUUCAACCACGAUCGUGGUGCUGAUGACGUUAGUAGUCGCGGUGAUGUAAAGCAACAAGUCUUCAUUAGGGUUUGGCACUGUGAGAACUGGUGGCUUUGAUGGGAAGUCCUAUAAUUGUUGUAGGGCUUGAUCUGCCUCCUUGAUCCACUGAAACUUGUCUCGCCGCUUGAGUAGUUUGAAGAAGGGUAGGCCCCGCUUGAUCUGCCUCCUCAGCUUCUGUAUGUCCUUGAUACCUAACAGGGCAUGCAUAUUGGUGAUGGCGGAGAUCUUCUCGGGGUUGGCUUCAAUUCCUCGGUGACUAAUGAUGAUCCUAGAUAGUUUCCCAGAGGUUACGCCGAAGACGCACUUUAUCGGGUUGAGCUUCCACCAGAAUUUUCGCAAACUUGCAAAAGUUUCUUCUAAAUCCACAAUCAGGUCAUCAAGAUUUCUGGUCUUUAUGACCACGUCGUCCAUGUAUGUCUCCACGUUGAGGUGUAACUACUUCUUGAAGCACUCCUGUAUUGCCCGUUGAGAAGUAGCGCCUGCGUUAUUCAACCUGAAAGAAAUUGUUGUGUAGCAGAAAGCUCCAUAUGGGGUGAUGAAUGCAGUCUUGAUCUGGUCUUCUUCCUUGAGUGGUAUCUGGUGAUACCCCAAGUAGCAAUCGAGGAAAUAGAGUAAGGCGCAUCCAGCUAUGGAGUCGAUGACUGGAUCAAUCCUAGGGAGCCUGAAGGGAUCCUUUGAACAGUGUUUGUUGAGGUCUGUGUAGUUGACACACAUCCUCCACUCAUUGUUAUUUUUUUCGCACCAGGAUAGGAUUAGCGAGCCAUUCUAGAUGGUAGACUUAUUUUGUGAAGCCCACCACGAGUAGCUUGGCCAGCUCUUUCUUGAUGGCUUCCCUUCUAUCUUGAGCGAAUUGUCGUAUCCGUUGUCUUUUAGGUGUAGCUUUUGGAUUCACCUUGAGUGAGUUCUCGAUCACUCCCUGGGCACCCCCGGCAUGUCCACUGGUUUCCAUAUGAAGAUGUCUCGGUUGGCCUAGAGGAAGCUGGCGAGCGCACUUUCCUAUUUAGGAUCCAGCCCUAUGCCAUUAGGGCUAUCUUGGAGCUAUCACCAGUCUCAAGGUCAAUGGCUUUGACGUCUACUUCACUUGCCGCAUUGACCUUGGUUGUCCCCGACUUCUUUUUUGGGAUCUCGAGUUCUAACGAGGACCGUUUCUUGGAUGCGACGAAGACUUGCAUCAUCGAGUUUGGUACUCAGGUAGUUGCUUCUAGCUCCAUGGGUUCUGUGUCACAGUCGUACGACCUCUUCAAGUCUUCGCGUAGGGAGAGUACUCCCUUGGUUCCCGGCAUCUUGAGUACUAAGUACACGUAGUGCGGGAUGGCCAUGAAUUUGGCCAAUGCUGGUCUUCCAAGGAUGGCAUGGUACGAUGUUUCGAAUUCCGCUAUCUUGAACUUGAUGUAUUCGGUCCAGUAGUGUUCUUUGGUUCCAAAGGUAACUGGUGAAACCACCUAUCCAAGGGGUACAACAGCGUUGCCCGGAACGAUCCCAUAGAAUGAAGAGUUCAUUAGGGUGAGCAUAUCGGUCAUGUCGAGGCCCAUCUUCUUCAAUGUUUUGGUGAACAAUAUGUUGAGACCGCUGCCGCUGUCGAUUAGUACUUUAGUGAGUCUGGAGCCGGUGACAACCGGGUCCAGAACGAGGGGAUACCGUCCUAGGUCUAAGAAACUAGUCCAUUGGUCAUUCUUGGAGAAGGUAAUUGGUACCUCGGACCAUUUGAGGAAUGUUGGUGUCGUAGGUUCAAUGAACAUUAUCUCUUGAAAAGUGAGCUUCUGCGGUCGCUUAGUUGCAGUACCCAGGGUUCCAUCGAAGAUGAUGUUGACGUUGUUGAGUGGGUUCUGGAAUUUGCCAUUGUCACCGUUGUCUUCGUUUUCCUUGGCCUUGCUCUUGCCUUUGGUGCUAGAUGGCUCUGGGAGGUCCUUCAUGACUCUGCGUAAGCUAAAGCAUCUAUCGCAGAGUGUUUGUGGUAUGGGUGCCAUAGGCACUGUUUCUUCAGGAGCUCGUUGAACGAGGGUCUAUCUUGAUUCUUGCUGCCACCUUUUCGGGACAAUUGUGACACUGCCAUGAUAGUAUUGUCUGGCUUUCAGUUGCGGUAGUGACCUCUCGAGUAGUUAUUUCGGUUAUCAUUGUUCGGGCAAUCGAAUGUUUUGAUCUCCCUAUCUUUUUCAUCUGCCCAGUAAUGAGAGAAUAGAGUUCUCGUUUUAGGGAAUAGCUUCCUGAACUUGAAGUGAUGACCUCUAUGGUGCCGCCUUCUUUGUAGAUGGGCGACAGAGGAGUUCCCUCCUCGUAUGGGAGGGUGUCGAGGUAGGCGAUGUGGUGUGAUACAUCAUCCUUGGCGAGAUUAGGUGGCUUCAUGUUGGGCCAGUAGAUGAAUUUGCCUUGCGGAGUUGAUGUGAUCACCAGACCCUACAGCGGAACUAUUAAAGGAGUCUCCUCAUCCGGGUGCAAGUAGUAGUCGAGGUCCUUGAACAUAUCCGUAUCGAAUUGUGAUUUGGGCAGGACCACCUGAUAAACAGUGGUUGUGUUGCUUAGUUCGAAUGGGAAUCAACUCUAGUGGCAAUCUGAUUCACACGAUGGCUUAUGUGCUAGCUCGUGCGGGUAAUUUUGUCUGGUGGAAUAAGUCGAGUUGUACUCGGGCUUGUCCCCCCAGCCUUUGACUAAGUAAGAAAUUUAAAAUUCGCCGAAUUUCUCGACAAGAUCGUCCAGAGCUUGGCGCUGGAGCUCCAUGGUUUGUUGCUUCUUCUCCGAGGUCGAUGCAAUGUGGCAAUGGAAAUUUCAAGUGCCGUUUGUGAUGCAAAUCUAGGUGCUGAAUAUGAACAUCGUGCCUACUUCAAAUGCAACGAUUGGCUUGUUGAUGACUUGUGCCAUCGAGUUCGCCAGUGGAUUCUCAACGAGUUCCCCUACCGAGCAUGCCAGCUGUUGGUGUUUAGACCCAGCAACCUACCGAGGGGGGUGCUCAAGGUAGUGUUUUGGUUAGUGGAGCUUGUCGAGAUCAAGAACUCGAAGGUAAAUGCAGACACAUGAUUUAGGCAGGUUCGGGGCACUGAAUAGUAUUAUACCCUACGUCUUGUGUGUUGGCUUGAUUAAAUUGCUUUGGUGAGGGUCCCUGCCUCACCUUAUAUUGCUGGGGGAAGGGUUAUAGGUCGGUUGGUUACAAGAAAACUAGUCAGAUUUGACUAGACAAGUUUUACUCUUAUUGUUAUGAGUACUUUUCCGAAUCCUCGACUAGUUCCUAUCUUGCCACAUAAACUACACUGUCCUACACCAUAGUCUCUAUUUCAGAUACGUCUCGGUCUCCAGCCCCAUAUUUAGGACUGUCCAAACUUUCUGGUGGGCCCAUUGAUGUAUGUACGACAUGCUGUGUUAAUUAUUUUUAAGAUUAAUGUUUCUUGGAGAUUUGUUUGUUUAAGCAACAGGUGUUGGAAGCAACCAUGUCAAGAAAAGAAGGAAGAUUGGAGGACAUCUCUGCACAGAAGGAGAUAAUCUGGAAAUGAUAAGGACCAAAGGCAACAAGAGUAGAAGCACCAUGACACUAUAAAUCUUCUCCAGUGGGAUGUUCAAGAGCUUCUAAUUGAGUGAUGCAACCAAGGAAAAAAACUGCUCAGGUCAUCGACACAAAGCGCUAGAGCCUGCUCUGAUCCCGCCACCUUGGCUAAAGCAAGAAUUAUGGAGAAGAUGCAUCAUUGCUACCAGCUACUCGCUGGUGUAGUAAUGGUGAUGACCUUGAAGCCAAAGGGUGCGCAACAUAAUGCCCCAAAGACCACAACAUUAUGAUCAUCAACAUCUAUGGAUCAAUUUACAAUAAGCAACUAUUGUUAUCAAGAUUUUACAUAACCUCAGAAGUAAACAACAAAAUAUUUUUGUAUAUUAAGAAGCCCCAUGAAGUCUACAUUCCAACGCAUCAAGCAGCAAGGCAAUCGUAUGUUCCUACAAGAGGUUAUGGCCAAAUCAUCGAAGGUCGCGCGUCCCGAAAUCAGUUCUGGACAGCGCACAGUGCUGAAAUAAAACAGGCAUAACUCUCUCAUUUGAACUCCAUUUUAGAUGAAACACCACUCGUUAGAAAGGUAAUUUCAUAAAAUUUUCAAUAGAGCUAUAUUUUAGUAUAUGUUCUGUUCUAUAUGCAGGUGAAGAUCCAUGAGGAAGAGGCAGAAGCAACACGAUGAAAACAAGAUGGGGGAGAUGAAUAUGACAACAAUGAAGAGGAGUUUGGGCAAUGCUUUCAUCAAGUGUACAUGAUCAAAUUUAGAAUAUUAGAAUAUAAACAAAACCUCUGGAGCAUUAGCAAAUGAAGACACAAGUAGGAGACAUUCAACGCAAGGAGAUGUUAGAAGCAAAUCAUGAUGGAUUGCGAAAGAUGACAUCAAGCUACAUGGAUACUUAGGUUCUAGCCAAGUACUACUGACCAGGGAAUACGGAGAUUCUUCGCGAUCAAAUAUCAAACUUCACCAGUACACUACGGAGACAACCUUUGAGGUGCUCAAGCACUUCAAUGACUACCUUGUCCACAUCACAGAUAUCCAAGAACGGACCUAGUUGUGAAGUUCUAUGGCUAGUUGACAAUAGCUUCACACAGAAUCAUCGAUGCAUCUGUCAGAGGUUCGAUUGUUGACCUUACUCACAGUCAGGCUAAUACUUUGCUGAAGAAGGAUGGUAAUAAUGACACCUGGGCAUCAACGGGAACCAACAAAAGUUUUACUAGAAGUGGAGCUUGUUGGAUCAUCAACAUCUCAUGUUGAAUAUUGCUGUUGUGAUUAGUUUUCCACCCAUGAUCAGAGAUGUACAAUAGAAAAAAAUUGUAACUUAAGAAGCUCAACCAAGUCUUCUUUCCAACACAUCAAGAAUUGUUAAGUUUGGAGAUCUGUAGGAGUUGCGAUAAAAUCUUUCAACGCUGCAUGUUCUGAAAUCAGCUCAGGACAGAACACUGUGACGGAGUAAAAUUGGCGUAACUCACUCAUCUGGAAUCCAUUUUGGGUGAACGACUAUGACAUACCUAGUGUUUAAAAGAACAAAACAAGAGAAAUUAAAAAGUAAAUUAGAAACAAAUCAAAGUUGCCAAGUGUCAAAUUUCAAAAACCUUUUCAAAUUCUUCGAAGUGUGAAAAACACAGCUAAAAGGUAGUUAUUUGGGUAGGAUUUAAAAACAUAAUUUUAUAUAAGAACUCAACUUUUUGCCAAUAUAAAAGUUGUAAAACUUUUCAAACUAAAUAACUUUCAUAAUUUGCACUUUGUUUGAUUUUGAGUGAAAGGCAUUCAAAAAGUGGAUCAAAAUUUAGUCAAGUUUGAGUCAAAUUCAAUUUCAACCUUGCCUGGCGUUCCACCAAAGUUUCAAUGAGUUUAUCUCCAAAUCUAGCACGAUUUUCACCUAUCAGGUUUUGUAGAACUUUGAGUCUGUAGUUCAAACUCCAACUUCUACAUUUCAAGAUUCAAUGUUCAGUUCAAAUUUUUGGAGAAUUUUUGCCGAAAACCUGAUGCCCUCGUGCGCCACGGCAAGCCCACGUGCGCCUGAUCCACGGUGAUCGUGCACGGCACGUGCAACAUCACCAUGUCGCACUACCUGGCUGUUCUCCACCGCUCGGUCAACCCUCACCGGUGACAAGAUGGGACGAGUACGGCCACUGCCCACUCCGCGCCUACGCAAUCACCCGCUCUCCACGCCACAUCUCCACAGGCCAACCGCGGAAUGCGGGCCACGCGUGCGCAGCUGCACACGCCACCGCAGGCCAAUGUGCGCCCCCUCCACCCUGCUGCUUGUGCCCAGCCGCCUCCGACCUGCCCAAUGCGCCACGAGCUCGUCAUGGGCGUCACCUUGUCCUCCCGCCGCUUUGCCGCUAUAAAAGGGGCCGUGCCCUGCUCGCUGGCGCCACACUUUACCCCCACACCAAAGCUCGCCACUCGUCUUUGGCCCCCACCAUCGAACUCCCCCUUUUGAGCCACGCCAGAGCCCCCUAACACCUCCAGUGCACCACCCAUGCCUUGCAAGACCUCCUCAAGCAACUCCCCAGCCUCCUCCGCCGCCAUUGUCACCGGAGACGACGCCCCCCAAGCAACGCCCAAAGCCUCACCAUGAAGCGGCGCUACCAGACCUUCUCCGCCCACGACCCUCACAGCCCGACGACCCCCGGUGAGCCCCUCAUCACGCCCGAGCCCUCACCCCGCACCCCCAUUGCCGGAGCUCGCUGGAUUUCGUUGGAGCGCCGUCAGCCGAGCUCCCGAGGGUGACAUUGCAAAGCCCCACAUAUUUCCAGGGUCCUUAGAGCAAGAAUGUAGGGGUCUCAUUGUGAAACUUCAAAACACUUAAGGGCCUGGUCGUAAAACCUAUUUUCCUUUUCGAUUUUAAUUUGAAUUAAACAGCUAAAACUUGGACAAUGUAGAAAAAUGGGGAAAAAGUGAAACUAGUUUUCCUAGGUUCUUGAUGAUGUCUAGUUUAAUUUAAAAUGAUCGAAAAAUACUUGCUCCUAUGAAAUAUGUGUUUUCCAUUGCUUAAGAAAAUACAUGUUGUUUAAUCUCCUUUUUAUGGGGUAAAUAGUUCUCAUGCUCAUAAAAUCCUAAGAAAGUUCACAGUAGCAUAUGUUAGUGUUGAUAACCCUUCUGUAAAAUUUGUGGAACCAAACUGAGGACAGAACUCUAGUUAAAAAUCAACCUUCAUGUUCUGCCAUUUAAUAUUGUUUGUUUUUAAUAAACUCUGUAGAUGUCAAAUGUAUCAUAAAUUUUUACAGUACAUCACUUGUGUAGAGGAAAAGCUUCUGUAAAAAUUUCAUGUUUAUAUCUUAACAGAUGCUUCCAGAAAGUUUUAUUCAUGUUUAAGAGCUAGUUUAAUUAUGAAUAAAAAUUGCUACAAGAAAUGGUAGACUAGCAAAAUGAUUAAUUAUGUUUUUAUUCAGAAAUAGGAUAACUUUUGCUAUGAUUGCAAAAUAAUACCAACAUGACACCACCUUUAUUUUAUGAAUGCUAAGUUCUAAACAUCUUAUAUGUGUAUACAAUCACCAUCAAAGUAAAACCAAGGUUUUAAUCACAACCCACCUUGUUUUAUGAAGAAAAGAUUUGUUAAAGUCUUAUCUAGGUCAAUGUGGCCAAAAAGAAAGAAACGGUCAAAAUCUUGUCUAGGUGAAUGUGCUCGAAAAAUGCAUCCUAUGCUUCUGCAGUGAUUCAUGAAAUGCAACCUACACCAUGAAAGCGAGUAAUUGAAAUCUUAUGCAUAUGCAUCUCGUGUAGAAGCUACUCGCACCGACAGCACGUACAAGUUGGUUCUGGAUGCUGAAGAGGAACACUCGGCCGCUGCAGUGAACCUGAUUGAGGCCACACAAGACCCGAGCCAAGCUUUGGAAGAGCCACAGGCUAGCGUAACAAGAAGGCAAGUCCCGGAGCAUAACCUUGGUUUCAAAAAUUAUGCAAUACUUUUAUUACUUAUGUUUCUGCAUUAAGUUUAUAGGAGUGGCUUAAAACCUUUGUUGCAUGCUCCUAGUACCCAUGUGUUGGUUGCUAUGCUAAAUAGGGACAUGGUAAAAGUCGAGUGAUUUCCUGUCACUCGCGAGCUAUAGGAGUUGCCUAUUUACUUAUAUUGGAAUCAUAAGGUUGACUUGUGGGGCUUGGUAAUAUGUUUUGGAAUUGGUGGAUGCCCCGUCUGUUUAGAGGAAAACGGUUAAGGUCUAAAUUUAUUAGAGUCGUGGUCAAGUGUUUGAAAGUACUGAGCACUUACCGAGUACGGGAUCGGGAAGCCUAGUAUCUGAUUGAACUGAGGCGUGGACAUACUCCCUGAUCUCUCUGGAACCGGGUUUCCCUGAUGCAUCUUGUGGGUACAAGUGCAGCCUCGGUAUGGCGUAGUUCUGGGACCGACGGGGCCUUGUAUCCAAGGGAAUUGGGCCCUGGACACGUGCUGGGGAUCAAUGGAAACGGUUGAUAUAUGUGAACCUGUUGUGGUACGCAUAUGUCAUGUGUUUAGGUCCACCUUGCAAGGUUAAGAAAUUUUAUUCAAAUUGUCUGCUUCUCAUAGUUUGGGACUGCUUGAUCGUCUUUCUACACUGAGUAAGAAGAGGAACAAAGGUUGAUGUUUAAUAUGGAUUCUUGAUUAAUUUGCUUGUUUCACCAUGCUUGCUUAGAAUAGGUGCUUACCUAGAAUGGUUAAUCAAUAAGAACUUGAUGCUAAAACUUGAAAGUAAGGAUCCACUUUUGAAACUUUGGCAAAAACAAACCCUCAGCCAAAAAGCCUCCCAUGUCUAGGAGUCGGUGGAUUAGAUAGCACCUGACGGGUAAGUCUUAUGGAGUAUUAGUAUACUCAGCCUUUCUUGUGGCUAUAUUUUCAGGAAAUGUUGAUUUUGAGGAUAUGAUUACCAGUGUGACUUGGCUGUCUUAGCUCCCUUUAGGUUGGAUGGUUGAGUGGGACCUGUCCUUGGUUGGUGAGUAUCGUGGUGAGUGAUAUCAUGGAGGCUUCACCAUGGUAUUAUGUAUCGUCAUUAGAACCAUUGUUUUCUUUUUCCACUACUAUGAACUCUGAAAUACUCUUUUAUGCAUUCGAACACUCGGUUGUAAUAACUUAAUUUGGGACUUGUAAUAUGUUAUCUAGAUUGUGAAGCGUCCCCACAUAAGUAGAGACUAAAUGUGAUACAAAUAUCAGUCCCAGGAGGCUGAUAACACAUUUAUUCAACAGAUGGUUCAUAAACCGUACAGCUCCUGAAGGAGCGGGUGGGCAAGCCAUACCCAAAGGAGAACUAAACCAACAGUGAUAUAGAUCCAAGUUGCAGUCCAGUCGGACUCCGGACUACAAUCGGAACGGAUCCAAGUUGCAGUCCAGUCGGACUCCAGACUACAAUCGGAACUAAGCGUCAGCGGAAGCAUCCUGCAAAGGCCAACACCACAGGCAGCGUUGGGUGCGGACACGACCUUCUACUCGAGAUCCUCGACGACGUAGUCUGGGUCUUCCUCUGAAGCAACAAAAUAACGGUGAGUACGAAAGUACUCAACAAGUCCAACCCCAUCCACGGAGGGGGAUACAAGCAAGAGUAUGCACAGGAGAUAACAAGGAUGAGGUUAAGGUUCAUUUGUAAUAAAGCUAGAUUUUCAACACAUGCAAGGGUUCAUUUUCAAAAGAGUUUUCGCAAAGCAUUUCCUUUAGUAACCGAACGUUAAGUGGGGUUGAUACUACAUAAAGGAUCCAAAUUAUAUUGCUAUCGGACUCCCCGUCCACCAUAGCCCACAACACAACUACCGGACACUUCCAAAAUCCAACACACGCCAUAAAAUCAUCCCUCUCCAAGUACUAGUUAUGUGACCAAGCUGUAACUCGUCGAAUGCCAUGGCCACGGCUACCCGAAUAGGUUUUAACUCUACAGAGGUUGUACACUUUUCCCACAAGUAGGGUACCGCAGCACAAUCACCUUAGUGCCGGUGCAGAUCUUAGUAAAGCCAUUACCCACCUUAGUUAAAACUGACUAGUCCACACGGAAACAACCAAGGGGUUAACGACCUACCAACGAGGUCGUAACUGGGACCUAAGUCACAAUGAUCUUACUCCUUUUCCAUGGGCUCCCGUUGCUCACCAGCUCACCCGAAGACUAAAAGUCUAGCUAGUGGGAUUUAUGCAAAACCGUGGCCGCAUACAAUGGUCGAGUGGUUGCACGAGGGUUGGGUUAGGCAAGAUGACACAUCAACUCGGUCCUUAACCUUGCUCAACCACCAAGGUACAAUGACAAGAUGGAUAUCUCCCAACCUUGCUCAACCACCAAGGUACGAGCCCAACAUAAUGGCAUUUCACCCAUGAAACACCCAUCCAUCUCAUCUCAGCAUCUCUUUCCUUCACCUCCGAAAAACCCAAUUUCCCUUUUUAAAACACUCACACAUUUAUUCUUUUAACAAAAUACAUGGUGGUCAUGAUUGAAUUGAGUAACAAGGUCCUAAGCAUUCUAGCAGUAAUUAUCAUCCAAACAGAGCAAGUCAUAUUUAGAGAUAAUUAUAGGACAAGCAAGGAAUAAUCAUAACAAUCAAGGGGUGGCUAUCCAACCAUGUUUGAGCAGUAAAAUAAUAUGCAAUUUAUAAAGCAGGCUAAUAGGUUGUGUUUGAAAAACUAGGAUAAAUAUGCGUCAAAGGGUGAGAUUCGACUUGCCGUUCUCAAAGCCUUCCGGGAGUUCCUGCUUGUGGUAGUGGUCCUUGAGCUCAGGCUCGCGGUCCAACUCCUCGUGCUCCUCCUCGGGUACUCCGUGAUCUACGGCACACACAAUCGAGCACACAAUAAAUAAAAGAGAAUUAAAAUUUUUCUCGUUGAGCUACGAACAGAGAAUGCGAAUGGAAAAUUGGAGUGAGUAUUUUCACAAAAUUGGAUAUGCCUCAACAAAAGUAUAUGGGGGAGGCCGUGGUCGAAUUUGGGAUCAAUUCGAGGAAGUUUGGCGCAUGAAAUGACGAGUUAAAGGAGUGUUAGGGGCUUAAACAAGGUUUUAGGACUAAACUGCGAGAACCAGGGGCCUAUUUGUAAUUAUUUCUGAAAGGUGGAAGGGCAUAUCUGUGAGACUUCUUUGAGAGAGGUGGAAGGGUUGGUUUGCAAAUAGGGGAAACUAGGGGGUUAGAUAGGUGGUGGGGAGGGAGGAAACCGAUGGGGGACCGGCUGGCCGGGCCUCGCUGGCGGCGGGCCGAGUGGUGGAGGAGGUAGAGGAGGGUGUCGGGGACCCAUUUUGGCCCUCACCUUGGGAGGAUGGUGAUGGGGAAGGGGGCGCCGGGCAUGGUCAAGGGGGCGGUGGGGGAGCUCCUAGCGGCGGCGCGUAGGGGCGGUGGAGCAAGGGGGCGGCGAGCUGGGAGGCAUGGGCGAGGUGGUGGCAAGGGGCGGCCGAUCCCUGGGCCCUUUUAUAGGUGGCAAAAGGGGGGCGAGCGACGGCCGGAGGGUCAAUGGUGGCCGGAAUCCCCGGCCGUUGGUGUGCGGGAGCGGAGCUCCACGUGGAUGGCAUGGUGGGGGCUGGCUCGGUCGACGAGAAGCACAGGGACAGUGGCCGACGUGGAGUGUGGGAGUGGGCGGCGACCGGCGACUGGCGAUGGAACGCGGCUGGCGAGGCGAGGCACUGGGGCGGGCGUCGUGCAGGGGGUCGGCGGGCGACGUGCAGGCGGUGUGCGGGGUGGCCAAGCGUGCGGGCACGGUCCCGAGGUGGCGUGCAGUCAGGGUGGGCUAGUGCGCGGGCCAGGCGCGUGGGUCGAGCGGCGCCAGGCGAGUGGUGCCAGGCGGGUGACACUAGAUAGUGCGGCACCAGGGAGAGCGUGCUAGGGAGAGGAGAGGAAAGAGAGAAGGAGGAAGGAGGAAGAAAGAGAAGGAAAAGAAGGAAGAAGGAAGAGAGAAGAUAGAGAAGGAAGGAAGGGAGAAAAAGAAAAGGUGAAAAAGGGGAGGGAAAAAGGAAAAGAAAAAAGGGAAGGAAAAAAUCGGCGAAAGUUGCGGAAUCAGUUGGGCACGCACGACGGAUUUGAAUUAGUAAAUUUUACGAGCGUUACAGAUUGUUGUAAUCUCUAGACUCGUCUCCGUGCAAGCUUUGUAUGCUUGUUUCGAUCAGAAACACGUGGUUGUAUUGGGUGAAACCCGACAGACUACCAUUUUAAUUCAAUUAAAGUGUUUAUUCGCAUUUGAGGCGAUGUUGAGAACAUUUUAGCUGGGUUAAUUUAGGUGGUUCUGCCACAAUGACCUUUUGUUUGAAAGGGAAUUUGAUGAGCUAUGCAGCGGAAGAAUCCGUUUUGUACAUGUUCUUUUCUGAACGCAGAGGAAUUCAAUGAAGAAGAGGCAUCAACGAGGAAUGGUAGAGCAUAAUGAAAACAUGAAGGCAAACAUUGACCUGUUGAUGAGAAGAAUGGAGAUGCUAGAGAAGAGAAGAUAGUUGCAUAGCUUGGAGAAGAAUGCAAACUUGUAGAAUUUUUUUGGGAAAAGAUAAAGAUAAAAUAAAGGAACAAGACUGCACCACUAGCACAGGAUGCUGGGAAGAGUGGAAACCUGAAGGUCCAGCUAUAGACGAUAACCGAAGCGAUUUGCGGGAGGCAACCUGAACAUUGAGUUAGGUAAUAAGCUUUUGUGAGGACAACAUAAUUUUAUUUGAGUCAUUUGAGUUUUGCUACACUAGUCACUUCUUGAUCUUAUGGAUGUUUUUGUCGAACACUUUGAUGCAUGAUUCUUUUCUUGGUUGUUAAGAUUUUGUUUCUUUUUCAAACAUUUUCAACAAAACCUAUGACAACCUAUCCAGUUUUUGUUUCUUUUUAUCACCCAUGAAAAACUAGAAUCAGAGGAGCUAAAAACCCACAUGAGCCGAUUGGCCUGCUCCCACAUGAGCUGAUCGGCCUGAGCUCUUUUUGCACGUCCACGGCCCCAUCUUUGAGUAGAGCAUGCAUAAUAUUUUUCAUGAUUUAUUUCUGUAUAGAAUAUGCAUGCUAGGCUCGUGAAACAUUAAGAUGAAAAUCUUUUUUGGUUUAUGCUUAUUGGAAAUCCGAUUUUUCUAGUUAGAGUUUUCUAAGCCUUUUAUUUUUGUUUCUUUCAAAAUUCUCUCUAUUUUAGCCAAAACUAGGAACCCAAUACCACAAACCGUGGAUGGUAAAUAUUCACGAUUAUUUAGUAUGAUUCAAUAGACAAAAUGUCUUUGAUUUAACCUAAAUUAAUGUGGAUGAGAAUUCUUGAUCUACAUUGGUUUUGAUAGUGAACUUCACCUCUGGUUUACAUAAUGGCUCGGUGAUUGUAUUGAGCAUGAUUUUAUUUUCAAAAUAAGAUUUGAAUUUUCAUGUUGAGAACAAUAAAACCAUGACCAAGCAUUGAUCAUUUUUGAGCCAUGGCUUUUGCAUUUUGCUUUGCUUCCUCAUGUCAGCAAGAAACCCUGGUGUGCUCUCUGUUUGUGCUCUCUGCAGGAACCACAAAAAAUAAAAUAUCAAGCAAAGGAAAGAGCAUGUUAAAGAGCAUGUCAUGAAAGUCCUCAAUUGGAGGAUCAGCGCCAAACCACUCUUUGAGUUGACAUAAGGACAUGAUAAGGAAGAACAACAGCUGGCUAACGGACAAAGCGACCAUUGAACAAGGGAGAAGCAGAUGAAACAACACUCAUACUCUUGGUUUGGAUAUCUUUCUUCCCUCCUUGUUUUUCAUACCACAAGUUGUGGUAGUGUCAGCAUGUUUUCAAUUUUAUUUUUAGCAUGUGUGUCAAAUGAAACAUUCAUCACAUUGAGCUUAAUUUCAUAUGAUUAAUAUAUAUGACGUUGUUUAUGCCUUUUGAAAUAUGGUGGAUGUUGCCACCUUGUUAAUUGUUGUAUUUAGUUAUCUAUAGCUCGAUAGGUUCUCCUUGGAUAUGACUUAAAAUAAAUUAAAUGCCAGCUAAUUUUUAUGGAGGUUCAAUGAUUUUUAUUAAAAUCCACAUAAUUCUUGUUACUCUCUUGUUUAAUUUUACUAAAGGCUUGUUUUUGUUUUCAUGAAAUAAAUUCUUGCAAGAGUUCUAUCCUGUCCAAAGCUAUAUUUAUUCCUUCAUGAUAAACCUUAGAUUGCAAGUUUAUAUUUCAGAUGAAUUGGAUUAGGAUUGAUUUCUAUAGUAUGAGAUUUAGAAGCUGGUCAUUCCUUUGUGUAACAAUUUCUUGCUAGCCUUUCUAUCCAUGCAUUGUGACUUUUCUACACUAGAAAUUUCACAAACCUCGCUAAGCAUCCAACCAAAAACCCAAAUAUCUUUUUGUGAUUACCCUCUAUGACCACAACCCAAUAUGACUAUGGAAUAAAUUCUCAACAUCAAUUCAGAGGAUCCACUGGCACCUUUUCAUGAUAAACAAGAUUUGGAGGCCGUCAGCCGCGUGCAGAAUAAAAAUUAAAGAAAAAAGAGGAAAAACAAGGCCAAGCUGAUCGGCUUGGACACCCUCAGGCCGAUCGGCCUGGGUGGUUCCCUCUAGAAGCUCUAAUUUUUGGCAUGGAUGACCUCCCUAAAGAAUCAAAUAAUUUUCUGAAGAAGACCAGAAAAUUUGAUACUUACAUCAGCAGUCAUUUUAUUCUCUCUUUCAUGCUCGAGGACGAGCAUCGUUCAAACAUGGGGGAUGAAGUCAUCGCAUUAGCUUUGACUAUUGCUAAGUAAAUAUUAUUUUGCAAGAAGUUCUGAAAAGGCAAAAAGAAAGAUAGAAAAAGAAAAAAAAUGAGAUAAGAAAAAGAAGAAAAGGGGCAAAAACAAAUAAAGAAAAAAAGAGAUGAAGAAAAAUGAGAAUAAAAUGCACCUCGGCUCUUUAAGAUUCAUAAGAUUUCCAGUGUCCUAAAUGUUACACCAUACUCAUUUUUUCAACCAUAUGCAAUAUGAUAACAAGGACUUCAUUUGUACCUCAAGAUCAUUCACUUGCCACUUUCACAUAUCCACCUAUCUAAAAAGUGUGUGUUCCAUUCUCCCCCUCUCCAUGAGCAAUUAUUUCUCCAUGACCAUUUUGACAAGUCUAUGUAAACCCAAUAGAAAUUUUUCCUAGUUUGAUAAUAUUCUGAAUAUAAUACUUUGCUAGGACUGUUUCUACCUACCAAGCUCCAGAUAAAGCCUUCUACUUAUCUAUAUGAGUAGAAUAGGUUGACAAUGUUCUAGCAUAUGGUUUGUGAGACUUGCUGAGCUGAGACUUUCCAUUGAGUAAUUGCAAGAAUUUUGUUGCCGAUGUUGAUCUAGCUCCUUUUUGAAAAUAGUGAUCUAUUGAAAGAAAAGUUUUGAAGUAUAUUUAAAUUUUAGAGUACUAUUCUAAAUUGUUUGUGACUUUUUCAUUAUUGAAAAAUAUCUAUCCUCUAUAAUGAUAAGCUGGUUACAACUUGAAUAUUAAUUGAACAUCUAAAUGGAGCGCCAUGUCUUGCUAUGUAUGAUUAAGUGCAGGGUUAACACUGAAGGGCAAUGCUGAUUACUAUUGAAGACUUGCUUGAGGACGAGCAAGGUUUAAGCAUGGUGGAUUGUUGAUGCUCCUUAUUUACACACUUUUACCCCAUUUUAUCUUCAAUAUUGGCUUACAGAUGAUAUCAUCACUAUUGAUCAUACUCAAUAAUCAGGCCAUUUUCGCAUAUGCAUUGUAUUUUGGAGAAUAUUCUAUUUUUGUAGGAAAUUGGACUUAAUUGAAGCAUAAUUGGAUAAGGCUUACGACAAGCAACGAACCAGAUAAAGACGAAGGCCAACAGGCUCAGAAAGAGCCUAGGCCGAUCUGCCUAUAGAGGCCCAGGCCGAUCAGCGCAGGGUCCUCUAGCGCCCAUUCAUGCUCAUCUUCGGCGAGGACUCCUCCAAGAAGACUUAGGGGAUAAUUUUCACAAGAUAUGGCAAGUUCACUUCAGCAUCACAGAUGGAAGCAAGUAAGACUUUGGAAAGAUAUCAAGAUCCAUAGUUAUCCGUAGGCUAUUGACGUGCCAAGCCUGCAUGCAAGUAAAAAUAAGUUUCUUAAACAUUAGAGAAGACUUGGUCACGAAGUUGGACAUGAGGGGGUAAAAGGAAGGGUUAGGCUAAUCGGCCUGGACCCUCCUAGGCCGAUUGGCCCAGCCCUUUCCUUCGCCCGUUUGCCUUCCAAUUUAAAUCACAGUUCCUCCAGACUAUAAAUACCCCAAUUUUCUAUCGAGGACAUAGAUUGGAUUGAAGAUUUAAAGUAGAAGGAGCCGAGGAACUUGAGGGACAACCAUUUACAGAGAAUUGAGGGCCGUGCAGUUGUUCGGAGGCUAGCUUAUGCUAGGCUCUUGCCAGUGUGAUCACCCUGCAAGGAAGAUCCACGCUGGAGUUCUAGAGCUAGGAUUCACAAGUCGCGGGUAUGGCCUCGGUGGAGAUCUUGUGAUGAACAAUCAUUCAUGGUGAAGUAAUAGAUUGGUUUUAAUUCAAUAGCGAUCUAUAUGUCUCGUUUUAUGAUUUCCUUGUUAUGUGUUUGCUUAUUCCAAUCUAUUUACGUAGUAGGUUGCAUAGGGUGUUCUUGUAGUCAUGGUGACUAGAAUUGCAUGCCUGAUCUAUCAUAAUAGCUAGACAUGUGCUUUAUGUUCAUGCCCUUAGAUUGCUUGCGCUGAUAGGUAGGAUCGUUAUAGGAUCUGAUGCUAUGUAAGGUGGUGGUUUAAAGAUACUUUGAAUGAGAACCAUGUGUUUGCUUGCCAUGUGGUUUAAAGGUACUUUGAACUACAACAUAUGCAUAGUCUAGACUUUGCUCUAGAUGAGUUACCUCUUGUUCAUAUCUGCUCAUGCUUCUUAUAUAUCCAUGUCCAUUCAUGCCUAUUCACAAUCACUUUGCAACUCAAAUCAUAUUUCCUGAUGCUUAGUUAGUAUAGAUCCUGUGACCUUGUUUCCACGGAUUGAUAAACCUUGGUGGAAUACUCUAAGGGAAAAGCUACAACUGAUCCAUGCACUUGCGAUUCAUAAAUUUGUGUGCUAACUGCCAUCAACACGGAUCUGUGAUCAUCAAAUCUAUACCAAUAUGCUAAAGUGAUACUCUUUUCUUUUGCACUUCUUCUUUGACUAACAGGUACUUAAAAUCCUUAUGUUUUGCUCCCUUGGAGUACCUGUCAUUUUUAGAGAACAAGACUGCAACAACGUUGUCACAAUAUAUCUUCAAUGGUCUCUCAACAUUGUCGAUAAUUUGUAGAUCUGACACAAAAUUCCACAGCCACAAUGAUUGAAUAGUGGCCUCAAAGCAUGCCACAAAUUCAACAUCCAUAGUUGAAGUAGCAAUGACAGACUCCUUUCCACUCUUUCAUGAAACUGCUUCUCUAGCCAAUAGGAAUACAUAGCCGAAUGUGGAUUUUCUUGAGUCCGCACAUCCGGCAUAGUUAAUUCUUAUAGCCUAUAACCUCCAAAUAGCUUGACUUCUUACACAUGAGCAUGUGGUCCUUAGUGCCUUGCGAAUACCGAAGAACCUUUUUCCCAAGUACCAAAUGAUCUUCCAGGAUUACUUUGAUAUCGACCAAGCAUUCCAAUAGCAAAGUUGAUAUUUGGUCAAGUACAUGUCGAAGCAUACAUUAAGCUCCCAACUAGUGAUGGAUAUGGAAAAGAUUCCAUCUCUUUCAUUCUUUGGACACUAUUUUUCACUAAAUUUAUCCCCUUUCUGAAUCGGAACCAUUCCCGCGGAGCAAUUUUCCAUUCUUAAUCUCUCCAAUAUUUUGUUAAUGUAGGCCUUCUAAGGCCCCCUUUGGUUGGGCUUUCCAACCUGCUUUUCCUUUUGCAAAAGUCAAAAGCCAACCAAAGGGUUUCAAACCAUUGAUGCUUUUGCCCAAAAGAAGCUUUCAUGGUAGUACAAAUCCAAAAGCAUCUCUCCUCCUUACUUUCAAGUGCUUUUGGGGCAAAAAAUUACCCACCUGCCACUGGUUAUGAUGUACCAUUUCAUUUUCUAGCGAUCUAUUUUUUCUCCCGUACACGAAAAGAACCCGACCGGCUCCUCUCCCCCGCCCCCCGCACCGCGCCGUCCCUGAUCCAGGCGGUCUGCCGCCCACCGCCCUUGGGCGCCGGCCGGAAGUCCACCUCCCCUAGCUGCCAGUCGGCCAUCCGCCGCCCUCCCUCACCGGCCACCGCCCGUCCACCGUCCCCCCAUUGUCGGGCCCCCGUCGCCGGCCCCCUAACGCCUGUCCGCCACCCCCAUCGUCGGGCCCCAGUCGCCGGCCCCCUAAUGCCCGUCGCCGCCCCCCCCCCAUCACUGGGCCCCUGUCGUCGGCCCAUCUGACGCCCGCCGCCAUCCCCUAACGACCGUUGUCGUGCCCCCGUCGCCGCCCCCUAACGGUCGCCGUCGAGCCCCAAUCGCCGCCCCGCUGAUGCCUGCCGCCACCCCCUAUCGGCCACCACCGGGCCCCCGUCGCCGGCCCCCUGAGGCCCACCACCGGCCCCCUGACGCUCGCCGCCACCCCCUGACUUCAACAGCAGGGCGCCCCAUCGCCGGCCCCCUGCCCCUGCUCCUGGUCACCAGGCGCACCCACCGCCCAAGGUUUGUCUUCCUUUUUCCUUCUCAACUAAUAUUUUUAUAACACUUGUUUCGUAUAAAUCAUUUACACUAUUCCAAUUGUUUUAUGUUGUCAGGUACAACUACAACACAAAAUCAAAUAGGAAGCUACCUGCGAAAAGAAACUUCUUGAGGUAUGAACAAUCAAUUGUACUCAGUAUGGUUAAAUGCAAAAUGAUAAUUCAAAAAUAUAUAAUCAGUGAACAUUUGUACUUGGACAUCUAUGCUUAAUUAUUUCCCAUUAGUUUAAUAGUUGGAUAGUGGCUUCAUAGUUAUGUCUUGGCUUGAUAGUUAGAUAUCUCUAGAACAGCUCAUGUUUUUGUCAACAUUUGUACUUGGAUAUUUCUAGAACAGCUCAUGUUUCUAUCUUCCCCGCACAUUAGACAAUUAGCUCUCUAUAAGCAUAUCAACAAAUCAUACAUAGAGGGGUCUGUUGGGUUGGAAUGCGUUAUAUAGCACUUUCGUUUUAGUUCUUAUGAUUUUUCUUUGAUUGGUUGAAGAAUGGGUGAUAAGGCGAAUUGGGGUGAUACUUUUUUAAGGCAUUUGAUUGAUGCCUGCAAAGAAGAGAUUGAAGCUGGGAAUAGGUCGAUGGGAAUUUUCACUACUAUCGGUUGGAAGAAUGUUGUUUCCAAGUUUGCAAAAAAAUCCGGUGACAGUAGAACAAAAAAACAAUUGAAGAACAAGUUAGAUCUUCUGAAAAAGGAGUAUUCAACGUUUAUGGAGUUCAAGUAUUAUGCAACUAGUCUUGGAUGGGAUGAGGCAAAACAAACUGUUGAGUGCUCAGACGAAUGGUGGGACGAACACCUUGCUGUAAGAACUAUGUUGUCAUUGUAAUUAUAUUCUUCCCAUUCUUCGUUAUGGUGUGCCUUGCUAUUUUUUUUCUAAUUGUAGAGAUGCAACAAUCGUGAGAAAGGAAUCAAAUGCCAUCAUAUCAAGUUUCGAAAACAAGGAUCCAAGUUCCUUGAUGACCUGCAUAUCUUGUUUGGCAAGGCACAUGUAACCGGGUCUUCUGCAUCCUAUCCUGGAGAUAUAUCAUCCAAUGAGGCAAGUGAUGAGAAUGUGGAUGAGGUACCAAAACCUACGCAGAAUGAUAUGACAGUGAACCUAGGAAAAAAGGAAACGUAAGGGUACCUCUAUUGGUGUUGAAGAGAAGGAUGAGAAGAGCCCAUUCUUUUGUUUAUACAAGUCCACUUGUUUGAAGAUAGAAAAUGUUGCAGAGAGGAUCUCCACAAGUGUUGAAGCAUCAUUAGCUCCUCCAACUAACCUAGUUCCUACCAUUACAGAGACUAUGAAGAUGGUGAAAGAAUGUGGGGUGCAAGAAGGAACUGCUCUAAUGCACACAGCCGCUUCCCUAUUUAUUAAACCUGAAUUUAGGGAGCUCUUUAGCUCUCUAGAAAAAACUAAAGGAAGACUGGAUUUGAUUGAGAGGGAGCUAGAAAAGGAGAUGAUGAAGCGCUACUGAUUUGUUUCCAUGUUUGUCAAAUUAUUUUAUUGUCAUAUGUGACAACAAUUUCCCUAUGUUGAACCAUAAUUUGUUACCUUCUAUUGAACCAUAAUUUGUUACCCUAUAUUGAAAAAUUAUUUAUCUAUUAGUGUGUUAUGUUGAGAUUUUUCAUUUAGUAUUGUCAAGAUAUUUGUUGUAUUUAAUUAUUAAUAUACUAAUGUCUCAUGUAGAUUGGGAGAUGUGGCCAAAGGAGGAUAAAAAGGACUACUACUGCUAGCUGAACUUGCACAGCAUGCUGGUGCUAUUGGAGAAAUGGGCAACUUGUAUACUGAGCGGUAUUUGCACAAAGCUGAAUAUAGGAAAACGUCAGAAACUGGAAUUCAAUGGGUGAUAAGGUGUAUGUCAUGUCCGAGGUAUUUUUAUAAGGUGUUUCGGAUGAGCACCGAGAUUUUUGAUAAACUUCAUGACUUGCUAGUCUCUACUUACGGAUUGACCUCAACCAACAAUGUUUCGUCUACUGAGUCAUUAGCAAUGUUCUUGUGGAUCGUCGGAGGACCACAAUCUUUUUCACAAGCUGAAAAUCGUUUGACACGGUCACUUUGGACAGUUCACAUAAAGUUUCAUGAAGUGUUGAAAUGUUUGCACAAGUUAGCUAAGGACAAUAUUAAGCCGAGAGAUCCUACUUUUUCUACGGAGCAUGAAAGGGUGAGAGAGGAUCAUUUUUGGCCAUACUUUAAAGGCGCAAUUGGAGCAAUAGAUGGUUCACAUGUCAAAGUGGUAGUGCCAGUGGACGAAGUGGUUAACCACACAUUCUGUCACGGAUAUACAUCUCAAAAUGUGCUAGCUAUUUGUGACUUUAAUAUGAGGUUCAACUUUGCGGUUGCUGGGUGGCCGGGUUCUGCACAUGACACACGUAUCCUCAAUCCUGCAUUGGCAAAUUUUCCUUCAUUUCCCAUGCCUCCUAAAGGUAUACAUGGUUCCUUCAACAAAUUAGCAAUAUUUGUAUUAUUAUGUACCUUACUAACUUGAUUUUGUAGGAAAGUAUUAUCUCGUGGACUCAGGUUACCCAAACCGAAUUGGGUAUCUUGCGCCUUUCAACGGAAGCACAUACCAUAUACCAGAAUUUCAGCAUCAUUCGGGGCCUCCUCAAGGAAAGUACGAGAUGUUCAAUUUCUUGCAUUCGUCUCUUUGUAAUGUCAUUGAAAGGUCUUUUGGAGUCUUAAAGUAGAAGUGGCGUAUUUUGAAGGACAUGCCAAGUUUCUCACCUCGUACUUAAAAACAUAUCAUUAUGGCUUAUCUUGCAUUGCAUAAUUUUAUUCGUGACAGCAAUUUGUAUGAUAAGGAGUUCAAGAGAUGUGAUGAUGAUGAGGAUUACUUGGUACAACAUACAUGUGGCAUGAGACAAACACAAGGAGAUGAGAGUGACGAUGUGGAGAAUGAGGAUACCAUGAAUACCAUUCGUACUAGGAUAGCUGAUGCUUUGGUUAGUGCAAGAGGAGGAGAGUAAUGUUGAGGGAUGGCAUCAUUGUAUAGAAAUUUUAAUGGAUAUAGUUGUAUUUAUGUGGACCAAUCACUUUAAUGGAUGAAAAACAUAUAAAAUUUAUUUUUUUUCUUUCUAAAAUAGUGGUUUACAUUUGAACUAGUGAAUGCAUUAUUUUGUUAUUAGCAAUUUGCAUAUAAACACACUUACAGACCUUUAGGGGCAUUACAGGUAUUUCUUACACAGUCUACAGUUUCACAGCUACUCUAACCAAACGGUCUUCUACUUUUUUCCCACAGUUGCUUUUCCACAGCCCACAGCUCACAGCAGCUUUUCCAAAAGCCACAACCCAACCAAACACACCCUAAGACAAUCCCAGCAAUCCUUGUUUUCUAUCAUGGAAUAUUUCUAUUCCAAUAGCAUAGGAUGCCUCACCCAUAUCUUUCAUUUCAAAAUAAUUGGAGAGAAACUUCUUUACAUCAUGUAACAAAGCCUUAUCAUUAGUAGCAAGCAAAAUAUCAUCAACAUUUAGGACUAAAAUAAUGAACUUGCUCCCACUGACCUUCAUGUAGAUGCACCAAUCAACAGUAUUCUCCACAAACCCAUACGUUGUAAUGGUGUCAUUGAACUUAAUAUACCAUUGUCGGGAAGCAUGUUUUAGUGCAUAUAUUGACUUCUUUAAUUUACACACCAAAUCUUCUUUUCCUGAAGCCGAAAAAUCCUUCGGGUUGGUUCAUGUACACUUUUUCAUCCAAAUCUCCAUUAAUAAAAGUGGUCUUUACAUCCAUUUGGUGAAGCUCCAAAUCAUAAUGCGCCACCAGAGCCAAAAUAAUUCUUAAAGAAUCCUUCUUGGAAACCGAAGAGAAGGUCUCCUUAUAGUCAACACCUUCUUCCUGAGUAAAACCUUUGGCAACAAGUCUAACUUUGUAUCUUUCAAUAUUAUCUUUUGAGUCACGUUUGAUCUUGAAGACCCAUUUACACCCAACUCGUUUGGAACGUACCUUGACGCAAUUACACUAACUCCCAGACUUUGUUGUCAUCCAUUAAAUUUUUCUUUUCUUUCAUGGCGUUAAACCACCUUUCAGAAUUAUCACAUUCCAUGGCUUGCUUAAAUGAGAUAGAGUCAUUUUCCAUACUCAAGUCACACUAAUGCUGAAGUGAAUAAACCACGUAGUCAUCCGAAAUCGCCGGUAUUUUCUGCCUUACAGACCAACGCACUACAUUUUCUUUCGGCACUUGACUUUCACUUGUGACUUGCACAAUAUUACUCACCUCAGGGACUAUCUUUUCAGCAAUGUUGUUAGGUUGUGACACAACAGUGCUAGUAGGAGUAUUGGAUUGAACUUUGUUAAUAUCCACCGUUCGUGGAUUUUCGCUCACACUAAUCUCACCGUUCUCAAUGAAUCGGGCAUUUCCUGUCUCAACAAUUCGCGUAGUAUGGUUAGGAUAGCCAACGAAGAAACCACUAAUGGUCCUUGCAUCGAGCUUCUUUUUGUGUGGAUUAUAUAAUCUUACUUCUGCUGGGCAACCCCAAACAUGCAGGUGCCUUAAGCUAGGUUUCCUACCUGUCCAUAGUUCAUAAGGGCAAGCAAGUCUGACACAUAUCAAAGCAUCCUGCUACAAGAAGUAAUGACUAUUACAGCUAAUACACACUGAUAUUUGUGGUCCAUUUGAUGUUCCUUCUUGGGGUGGUGAAAAAAAAUUCACUGCCUCUCACUAGUAGAGAAUUGACUUUCGAUACGCCCCCUUUUGUCCCGGUUUAAAGUUGGCCCGGGACAAAAGGUUCACUAACCAGGACUAAAGCUCGGUCACUGGUGGGGGGCUCACCAACCGGGACCUUUUAUCCCAGUUGCAAAGGCUAGUGUGAAAAAAAGAUCCUGAGAGGCAUUUUAUCCCGGUUUGAAACACCAACCGGGAUAAAAGACCCCCCUUUUAUCCCGAUUGGUGUUUCCAACCGGGAUAAAAGGGUCGAGAGCCUUUUAUUAUCCCGGUUGGUGUUUCCAACCGGGAUAAAAGGGUCCCAACGAGGUCACUGAAAUAGGACUAAAUCCCUCGAACCCUUUUAUCCCGGUUUGUAAUACCAACCAGGAUAAAAGGGGUCUUUUAUCCCGGUUGGUGUUUCCAACCGCGAUAAAAGGGUCCCCAUGAGUUAAUACAAAAGGAUAGCAUCCCCUACAUAGUCAGAUGUGUUAUGUAGGUGGGAUGGCAAGGAAGCUACGUGCGAGGCUGGAGGUUGUGGGUUCGAAUCCCAUGCAGCGCGCACGCGCAUAUUUUGCGUGAAAAAUCGCGUGACUUGUGACUUGCGACCGUGGUGACCCGUUUGAGUUACCAACCGGGAUAAAAGGGGGCUCUUUUGUCCCGGUUGAGUGACCCGGGAUAAAAAGACCCCCCUUUUUGUUCCGGUUGGUUUAUCCCAGAUGGAUUUUCAGGAGAUUUGCACCCUACCAACCGGGACUAAAGGCCAAUUCUCUACCAGUGUCUAUCGGACUUCACCACCUUUGCUUUUCUAUCAAGUUCCCUUUCAACCUCAUUUACAAACACCUCAAGGACGCUUGCGGCUUGAGACUUUUCAUGCAACAAGUAUAGAUAACAAUAACGUGAGAAAUCAUCAAUAAAGAGAAUGAAAUAUUUUUCACCACCCCAUGAAGGAACAUCAAAUUGACCACAAAUGUCAGUGUGUAUUAGCUGUAAUAGUUCACUACUUCUGGUAGCAGGGUGCUUUGAUAUGUGUCAGACUUGCUUGCCUUUAACGAAGUCUAUACAUACAUUCCAAUCAACAAAAUCCAAUUGAGGUAGUAUUUCACUUUUCACUAACCUCCACUGGUAGAGAAGUGAGCUUUAAUCCCGGUUGGUAGGGUGCAAAUAUCCCGAAAAUGCAUCCAGGAUAAACCAACCGGGAUAAAAGGGUUGAGAGCGCCGACGCUGCAAAAAAAAAAAAAUCCCGAGCUCCCAGGCAGGCCCCCCACACGCGCAAGUCACAAGUCACAAGUCACGCGAUUUUUCACGCGAAAUAUGCGCGUGCGCAGUUCGUGGGAUUCGAACCCACAACCUCCAGCCUCGCGCGUAGCUUCCUUGCCAUCCCACCUACACACCACAUCUGACUAUGUAGGGGAUACUAUCCUUUUGUAUUAACUCGUGGGGGACCCUUUUAUCCCGGUUGGAAACACCAACCGGGAUAAAAGAGUCUUUUAUCCCGGUUGGUGUUUCCAACCGGGAUAAAAGGGUCCCCCACGAUUUAAUCCCCUCCCAGUCAGCUUCCAGUCACCUCGUUGGGGGCCCUUUUAUCCCGGUUUGAAACACCAACCGGGAUAAAAGGGGGUCUUUUAUCCCGGUUGGUGUUUCCAACCGGGAUAAAAGGCUCUUGACCCUUUUAUCUUGGUUGGUGUUACCAACCGGGAUAAAAGGGGGGGUCUUUUAUCCCGGUUGGUGUUUCAAACCGGGAUAAAAGGCCUCUCAGAGUCUUUUUUUCCCAUUAGCCUUUGCAACCGGGAUAAAAGGUUCCGGUUGGUGAGCCUCCCACCAGUGACUGAGUUUUAGUCCCGGUUGGUGAACCUUUUAUCCCGGGCCAACUUUAAACCGGGACAAAAGGGGGCGUAUGGAAAGUCAGUUCUCUACUAGUGCUCAAAACCCUUUCCUUGGAUAUCUGACCCAAUCUCUUAUGCCACAAGAAAGCAGAUCACUCAUUAUGUGCACUACGUUUAUUUCCAACAAUAUGCUCAACAUAAAAUAGGGAUUUAGAAAAACCAUCAUCAAGAUUAAAACGGUACAAACCGUCAGUAAAGUACCGGAACCAUAAUAGUACUUAUUUUUAUAUAAUGAAAACAUACCGUCUCCAACCAUGAACUUAAAACUUAUUACAUCCAACUUGCUGAUAGACACGAGAUUUCUAGCACACUCGGGAACAUAAAGACACUCUUUUAAAUCUAAGAGUAGACCGGUAUCAAUGAUUAUUCUAUAAGUGCGGAUCCCUUCAAUACGUGCCUUCAUUCGGAUCCCCAUGUACAAGAACUUUUUAGGUCCGCUUAUGGGUUGGAUCAUAAGGAAUCCCUGCAUUACAUGUGAAACAUGAGUAGUAGCACCAGAAUCUAACCAUCAGGUUUUGUUUGGAACUUCAAUAAGAUUUGAUUUAAGCAUACGGAAACGUAAUGUAUACCUUUCUUUUCGAACCAUUUCUUCCUCUUCGGGCAAUCCUUCUUGAAAUGGCCAGUUUUCUUGCAGAAAUGGCAUCUCAGUUUCUUAUGGAUUUGCCCAUCACUUACAUGAAGUGGAUCCUUUCCCAUCUUCUUUCCCUUCUUCCCUGGUUUUGCUUUACUGCUGCUAGCGCCAUUAUCUACCAUGAGAUGAAUAGAAUGAUUCCCAUUUUUCUUUAACCUCCCUUCCUCUUGAAUUAAGAUGGCCUUGACUUCUUGAAUGUUCCAUUUAUCUUUAAUGGUGUUGUAAUUCACCUCAAACUGGCCAAAUUCUGGAGGAAGAGAGUUGAUAAUAAACUGGACCAAAAAGGGUUCAUCCACGUUCAUGCCCAUGGAGUUUACCUUUGCAGUAAGUUUAUCGCAUCAAGCUUGAAGACAGCCUAUUAGACCGUUCCAAUUGUCAUGAAGGUUAUGGUCUCCCUCAUUACUUUCCUCUGCAAUGGCUGCGGGCUUUUCAAGAACCGGUGCUAAAUCCAAGUUCAUAGCACCUAGAUGGAACCGAAUUUGUUCAGACCAAUCGUUAUAGUUCAGCCCAUUAAACUUGACUAUCCCAUAACUUUGACACAUUAGGUUAACAGAUGCUGCAAAUAUUUAAAUAUACUCAUAUAUUAAUACAUUGAGCAAACGAUAAUGGAUUCAAACGAUAAAACUAUAAGUGUGUCUAAAACAUCUUUGGAUGAAAUUUAGAUACACGGCAGGCAUAAAAAAUGAUGCUACAUAAAUACAUUUAAUGGAUAAACAAACACCCUCAAAAUAAAGUGCACGCUAUCUUUGGGUAGACUAACAAAAUUCAUCAAGCGCGCUGAUGUAUCCCGUUCAUGUUACCAAUUGUAAGCAAUGGUCCACCUUUGGGUGACCUCCCAGCUUACAACUAGCAAACUCAAUUGUCCAUCACUUCUUUCAAUAACUAGCAUCAAAAUUAUAUGAACAAUUGAAAUGCACAACUAAAUAUUUAGGUUCCCUUCACGCAAGGCCACUUUGGUGACUAACAUGCUUUUGAUGAUAUAAACAUUUAGUUGACAUAUCAUUUAACAGUUAUGCUCAUAAGAACGAUACAUGAGCUUUUGUGCAUCCAAAACCAUACGGAUAAACACACAAUUUUACUUGAAUAAACAAUACUAAAUUGGAUACAUUAUAACAAGCAAAAUAAACAUGUGAGAGGAAAACUUGUUAGCACAAAAGCCAUGUCAUUUUAUACAAUAGUAUAAACCUUCACGUUGUAUAUCUUUCAUGACAUGAACAAAUAUUAGACAACAAAAAUGAACUUUCAUGGUAAACCAAAUGUGCUAAAACUGGUUUUGAUACCAAAUGUUAGCAAAAAAGACAAUUCGCAGAAGUUUAACAAGAUCAGAUUAGCAGAAAAUGAUUCAACCGAAUAAAACAGUCUUUCAUGUAUGCAUCCCAUAGCUCAUUCGAUCAUGUGCAAUAUGCACAAACCCACCUUGCGCCAUGUUGUCUCCUUGCAUCGUGGAGAUUGCUCUCCUGUCUUCCUUCCUACCUUGAUCGUUCUUUUGAUGAUUAAAGAACUAAAGUCUCAUAUGUGUAUUUCUUUUCAUGGGUGUGAUGCUUUUGGUGUUCAGUUUAAGUACCUUCAUUCCUCAUAGGUACUGUCUAUUUAUACACCACACAAGUGCACCUGCAGGUCCAAAACGUCGGAGCUACACUGACGCAUGGCAUUUCAACUUCAAGUCAGUGGAGUCAUUAAUCAUCGUCAGGUCACUUAGAGUAAGCAACGCAUGCAUACCCCUUAAUGCAUGCAUCAUGGUGCUUUACCGAGGGAGUUUGCCAACGUAUGCAUGAGCUUUUAUCCUGGUACAGUGGUACAGGUCACACAUGCUCAUACAUUCGAUCUGCAUGUCCCUAGCAUUUGUAUAACACAAAGACCUUUAGAAUACGUGUGCUAGCAAAUGACCUUUGGGUCUAAUUAUAAUGCACAUACAAAAUUUGUUUAGAAGCACUGGUAGAGAAUUGGCCUUUAGUCCCGGUUGGUAGGGUGCAUAUCUCUCGGAUAUCCAUCCGGGAUAAACCAAUCGGGACAAAAGGGGGGUCUUUAGUCCCGGGUCUUUUAACCGGGAGUAAAGGACCCCCUUUAGUCCCGGUUGGUGACAGUCACCAACCGGGACUAAAGGGCCUGCCACGCCAGGCGCGGGACAGACCCUUUAGUCCCGGUUGGUGACACCAACCGGGACUAAAGGGGGUCCCUUUAGUCCCCGUUGGAUUUCCCAACCGGGACUAAAGGGGUCCCUUUAGUCCCGGCUCGAUUCCAACCGGGACUAAAUGACGCUUGCAUGGCACUGCCGUGACGCCUGAAUUUUUCAUGCAUGCAUCAUGUAUACUUAUAGUAGUACCGCGGCCCUUUUAAGUUGUUAACCUUGUAGUUGAGAUUUUUUUAGAACGAAAUCAACUAGUAUUUAAACGAAUGGGAUUUGUAAUUAUACAAUUACUAUAUAUAUACACAAUCCUUAUACACAAUUCAUAUACACAAUUCAACUAGCUUACUACAAAUCGAUCAUAAUUAGCGCGUAUUAUAUAUACAAAUAAAUCAAAGUAUCUUCCUACGAUCUUCCCGUCAUGGUGUUGCUGAUCGGAGUGUCUAAUUGUCGUCCAUUGUAAUAAAAUUCUCCUCUUGGAUUUACCACCUCGUCCAUUAUGAAUCCAAUGAGACCUUCACAUAUUGCCGCUACUCUUUCUUCCUUCAAGAGUCCUUGUUGAAUAUUUAACAUCUAUAAUUUGGAAAUUUGUGAAUGUUACAUGAACAAAUACAUAUAAGGAGCUAGAAAAUAAUUAACUAGUAAUAUAUUUAUUUUACGUACUUUAAAGUUGUGCGGCGUCAUCUUCGGUCCCUUGGGUCCCAAAAAACUGUGCAUGUGCUCACAGAUGUAGUAGCCACAUAGAUUAUUCCCGGGCUCCUGUCUUAAGCACUUCAGUGCGGAAAAAAAUAAGUUAUGAAAUAUUCGUGUUAUACAAUGUAAUAAAUGUGCAGACUUCGUACGUACUGGGAAGUCUGUGUUCCAUGUAAGAUUUUCUUUGAAUGGACCUUUGUGUGUCCUUAUGAAUUGUUUCCAUGCGCUGCGGAUUAGAAUAAUGAAUGACAUAGUGUAACAGGGAUAAAAUUUAGGAAAUAAAUUUUUGCAUAGAGAUAAAGGUCCAGAAUUAUUACAAGCCUAGCAUGUCUUGCAAUUCUUGGUAGUCCACCGGAUCUUUCCUUAACGAAUCAAAGACAGUGACGUGGCUUCUUUCAGGCUCAAUUAUAAUAAGGAUCCAGUGGAAGCUGCGUGCGUAAAAUGUUCAUGCAUAUUAGAGCUAACUAACAUGUAGAGAUAAGGAAAAAGACAUCGAAAGUAGACGUUAUACACACACUUACUUGAAGUUGUAUGGAAGUAGUAUGAAAUCCUUGAAUGUUUGUUUGUGUAGGAAAUUGUAUAUUUCCGCAAAGGUUUUUUCUGGCGCUAAUUGUAUCUGUUGUUGGUUAACUACAGAUGGAUCCAUGAAGCCUACAUGUAGGUACGCCUCUCGGCGGCAUGUCUGAAUUAGCAUCCUACAUGAAAUGGAAGAUGAAGUUAGUACGGUGACGCACGCCAAAAUUUACAUGUAGAGAUAAUAAACAGACACUUACAGAAUCCAAGCGCUGAUCAGAGAGACGUCCAGGGCAUCAUGAUGGUACACUUCGUAUAUAUCCUUGAAGUCUAGCCACAGCACUUUCUCCCCUUCACCGUGAAAAUCUAUCGGUUUUACCUUCAUGCCGAUCAUCUCCCUCGAGUUGGCGGAUGCCAUCAUGUACCAUUGAUGGAAUUCGUACAUCUUUGUUGAUAGCUUCCGUACCAUUGAAGGCUUUACUAGAGAUUUGCCUAGCUCAUAAGUCCACUUCGGCUCAGGGGGCGGUGCAGUUGGCGUCUCGACUUGCCCUAUGCAUUUAUCAAGUCCCAGACCUGUUCUUCCAUGAACUUCAAUAUAUUUUCUUGUUGAUCCAAGGGCAUUGCUUUUACCCGUUGAGCAUCUUUUUUUGAUAAAUGGCUGAGGUCGGGGACUGGACCGCUGGAGGAUGAUUUUCCUUUCCUUUUAUCCUUUUCAUCAGCCUUUACUAGAGCCCGUUCAUAGUUUGACAAGAGUGGUAUCCUUUUCUUGGCUCCUUCCUCCAUCCUGAUAAAAAAGUUUAAAUCUCGCCGACUUACUGGCGGUGGCUCCAUCUCCCUUGCCUUUUUUAAUUCGGCUUGUUUCUUGAACCACUCACUGGCCUCUCGUUGGAUUUCUGCCCACUGUUCUUCAUGAGACAUUGCCUCAAAGCGUUCCUUGCGAGCCACUUCAGGGUCGACCUUUGUUUUCUUCUUUCUCUGUCUUUGUUGCUUGGGAGGCGGUGCUCGUGACUUCUUGAGUGGUGCUGCAGGUUCCUUCGAGGGGGCCGCUCUUGGUGCCGGCGACGGUGAUCGGGGAGGGGUGUUGUUAUUGUCGUCGUCGCUCCCAGCACCAGGAUGUGGUGGAGAUGGAGACCUUGAUAUAGAUGGAAGAGACGGUCCUGGAGCAGGAGAUGCCGGUCUUGAGGUAUGAGGAGAAGGUCGCUGCUGGGGAUCUACGGGGAGCGAUCUUGAGGUCUGAGGAGAUGGCUCCGUGCGGGGAAUAAUGAUGUAGUGUUUCUUCCAUAGAAUGAUCCCAUGAAGCGCAUCUGCCAAUGUCUUUUCCCCGUCGCCUCCCGGGAAGUCGAGCUCUAGACCUUCAUACUGGGGAUCAACUAUUUGCUCGACGCAGACGCUGGCGUAGCCUGUUGGAAUGUCCAUGCCAUGACUGCUCUGCCCUGCCAGGGUUGGUAACGCACUCCCGUACGCUACCUGUACAUAUAGCAGAAGUAAACAAGUUGAACUCCGAUCUCGAGGCCUGGAUCAAUUGAUAAGAUUGCAUAAAUAUUAUGUAUAAGUAUACCUUAAUAGUGAGGUUGCCGACCGGUGCAUGCAGCUCACAUGAGGUCCGUUGCGUGAUGGCAUCCACGGGGAACCGUUGCUCCUCCACGGGUAACCUGGACGUCUGCGCAUCGGGGACCCCUGUAGAAGCACAACUGCUCCCGAGGCGUUGAGAAGGGCUGGCGGUGUGAGGAUUCGGCAUUGCUCCAGAUUGCGCCAACUCCGCAACUGCGUCGACCACACGCCGAUUGAUUUCAUCCAUCAUUCUUUGUUCUAGCAUCUGCCACCAGCUCUCCUCCAUCUGUUCCUUUCUUCGCUUCCGGCUUCUGUAAGAGGCGUUGUCGCCUCGGAAAGCGAACUUCCACGGGACCACCCCGAACCCCCGGCAACGUCCUGGGUGCUCUGGAUUACCGAGGGCCAAUGUGAGCUCAUCAUUUUCUCGGUCCACCCUCAACCUCCCAGCCUUGGAAUCUUCAAUGUUCUUCAUGAGAUGUUCGGCCUUCUCACGUAUUGUGUCAUUGAAAAUUAGCGUCCCAUCCUCUUGGCUUAGGGAGCCUCCAUGAGCGUAGUACCAGUUCUUUGAUCGUUCGGGCCAUUCAAUAGUUGCAGGUACGAUUCCCCAUUCGAUCAGAUCUUCUUCCAUCUUCCUCCACUUGGGAAUUGCUGAGCCAUACCCACCUCGCCCCAAAUGAUGGUGGUAGCCCUUCUAACUAGCAUUUGCUGUGUUGGUCGUGAUCUUUUUCACACCUUCUUCACUCCUCUUGUUUUCAACAAAUGCAUCCCAGUGGUCCCUCAACUUUGGCCAUGCGUUGAAGUCUGGAGUUUUGCCCUUCUUGAUGUAGUGGGUGUCCAGCAUCUUCUUGAAUGUCUGGAAUUGAGUAGCCAUCUUCUUAAGCGUCCACGCUUUGACAUCCUUCUCGCUAUAUCCUUCGGGGAAUGUGAAAUGUCUCUUCACGUCUUCCCACAGCAUAUUCUUUUCUGUCUCUGGAAGGGCGUACGGAUUAUCGCUUCUGCCCUUCCAUUCUCUGAUGCUGAUAGGCACGUUGUCCCGGACGAUUGCCCCGAUUUGACUCACGUACUUCUUUGCUACUUUCUCGGGAGCAACCGGCCUGCCCUCUUCUGUAACUUCGGUGAUGACAAGCCUCCCUUCCAUCACCUUUGUACGACCUCGGGUCUUCUGCCCUUGUGUCGAUCCGGAGGGCUAACAGUUCAAGAUUCAUUAAUUAGUACGUAGUAGUAGCGGUGGCGUGAAAUAAUACAAGAAUGGUUGUAUAUACCUCGCCGGAACCUUCCGCCACGGCAAGUUGUUGCUGCGGCUGUUGCUCUUCAUUCCCAUCGGCGGACAUGUUGAGGAACAUGUCCGCCUGGGUGCCCUCUUCAUCCGUGUAUGAUAGUGGAACGUUGUCGCCACUACCAUCACCAGCGAUUAUCUGCUCCAUGAUAUACCUUGCGGUCUCAUCGUCUGCCAUUUCAACUAUUGAUGGAAACAUACAUGGAAUCAUACAUGACAGUCAUAGAAAUCGUCUUAAUACAAAUUUGUACAAAGUCCUACAAAGUCCGGAAUCAUACAUGUAUAUAAUGAAAUCAUAAAAUAACACGAAUCGUACAAAGUCCGGAAUAUUUAUACAAAUUUCUAUGAAUUUUGACGAAUUUCUACAAAUUUCUAUGAAUUUCUAUGAAUUUCUAUGAAUUUCUAUGAAUUUCUAUGAAUUUCUAUGAAUUUCUACAAAUUUCUACGAAUUUCUACAAAUUUCUACGAAUUUCUACAAAUUUCUACGAAUUUCUACGAAUUUUGAUGAAUUUCUACGAAUUUCUACGAAUUUGUACGGAUUUCUAUGAAUUUCUACAAAUUUCUACGAAUUUUGACGAAUUUCUACGAAUUUGUAACAAUAUCCACAUGCGGUGCCUAGGUUGUGACGGCGGCGAUCAGGGCGGCGGAGGCGGGACGGCGGCGGUCAGGGCGGCGGUACGGCGGAGGCGGGGACGGUUCACCGGAACCACGGGCGGUGCCUACUAGGUUGUGAUGGGCGGCGGGACGGCGGCGAUCAUGGCGGCUACUCGGCGGCGAUCAUGGCGGCUACAAGGUGGCGAUCACGGCGGCUACUCGGCGGGACGGCGGCGAUCACGGCGGCGAUCCCGGCGGCUACUCGGCGAUCUCUGUCUAACUUAACAAACUAACUAGAAAUCUAAAAAUCUAACUUAACAAAAUUACAAAUCUAAAAAUCUAACUUAACAAAAUUACAAAUCUAUCUAAAAAUAAAACUUAAUUUUCUAAUUAACUUAAAAAGAAAACCCUCCCGGCGCGGCAGCGGACCUCUCGCGCGCGGGGCGGCGGCCGGGGCGGCGGGACGGCGGCGGCCGGGCGGCGCGCGGGACGGCGGCGGCCGGGCGGCGCGCGGGACGGCGGCGGCCGGGGCGGCGACGAGGACGAAGACGACGAUGGCGGGACGACGGCGGCCGAGGCGAAGACAACGACGGCGGCUACAAGGGACGGCGACGAGACAGCGACGAGGGGCGACGAGGAUGGAGCCGGCGACGAGGAUGUGGCUGGAGCCGGUGGUCGGAGGCGACGAGGUGGCCGGGGGCCGGGCGCGUCGACGGACGAGGAGGGGAUCGAGGAGGGCAGGCCGGGGGAUGACGACGGCGCAAUGGGGGACGACGACGGCGCAAUAGGGGAUGACGACGGCGGCGGCCGGCGAGGGAGGCGGACGGGCGGCGACGGCGGAGAACGCGCGGGACUUGCGAAAUUUUGGCUAAGUGUGUAACUGGCGGGGGGUAGAAGGGAGUACAGUGCCUUUUAACCCCCCCCCCUUUUAUCCCGGUUCGUAAUGGGACCCGGGACAAAAGAGCCUUUUGUCCCGGGUCCCGUUACCAACCGGGAUAAAAGGCCCCCCCCCCCUUUUAUCCCGGUUGGUGAUGGGACCCGGGAUAAAAGGGUGCGCUCCAAGCCCCACCUGGCGGGGCACCCUUUUAUCCCGGGUCCCGUCACCAACCGGGAUAAAAGGCCCCCCCCCUUUUAUCCCGGUUGGUGACGGGACCCGGGACAAUAGGGUGCCCCCGCCAGGUGGGGCUGGGAGCGUACCCUUUUGUCCCGGGUCCCGUCACCAACCGGGAUAAAAGGGGGGGGCCUUUUAUCCCGGUUGCAGUUGGCAACCGGGAUAAAAGGGUACGUUCGGACGGGAGACGAAACGUACCCUUUUAUCCCGGUUGCCGUUUGCAACCAGGAUAAAAGGGGGGCCUUUUGUCCCGGUUGCUGUUAGCACCCGGGAUAAAAGGUCUUUUUUUCUAUUUUUCUUCUCCCGCCUGUUUUUUGGAAAUGGAUUUUAUUUUACCUUUUCACUGCAUUUCAGGAUGAAAAACAAAACCUUCACAGAUUUUGUACAUGCAAAAAUAUAUUUAAUUAACGAGUAAAUUGACAAUAAGUAUGAAGUAAUCAUUAAUUCUAUACCAACUCAUGUAGCCUGUAAAAUAUUUAUUUUACUGCAUUGCUGUGAUCAAGAAAUUAUUCAUUUAAAUUAUUUGAAUGCGCAGAAAAAUCCAUGUUAGUAUGUGGUUAACAAUGUUCAUGUAUAUCUAAAAAAUCUUCACCUAACAAAUUUAAUAACACAUCAAAUCAUACAUAGGGUAAAUUACAAAUUGUAUCAAUUAAUACACAAAGGUCAUGUACAUUUAACGCAUUACAAUACAACGUUGUAAAAUUUCUUCUUCACGAAAGUUCCUUGAUCAUGAUCGCGGCGUAAGUACGGAGCCUCUUCUUUGGAUAGCAGGAUGCUUAGAUCAACUUCAACGGCGAAUGGAGGCAUGCCAUCAAACUGAUCAUAAUCAUCUGAUUGGUCUGUUUUAUCCUCGACUCCCACGAUUCUUCUUUUACCUGGAAGAACUAUGUGGCACUUUGGCUCCCAUGUCUCUUCUGGAUUCCUCUUGGGUUUGCUGCACAUGUCCUUCACAUAGAACACCUGAUGCACAUCAUUGGCAAGUACGAAUGGGUCAUCACUGUAUCCAGUCUUGCUCAGAUCUACUAUUGUCAUUCCGUACUGAUCUUUGGUGACGGCAGUUAGCUUCACCCAAUUGCAAAGAAAUAGAGGGAUGUACAGCGGUCCAUAUUCGAGUUCCCAUAUCUCCUGUAUGAAACCAUAAUACGACUCCUUGCUAUUAUUUCUGUCCAUGGCAUCUAUGCAAACACCACUAUUCUGGUUCGUGCUUUUCUGGUCCUGGGCUCUCGUGUAAAAUGUGUAACCAUUUAUCUCAUAGCCUUGGAAUUUGACGAUUGUGGUAGCAGGUCCCCUGGCUAACCAGGCAAGCUGUGGGUGAAUCUCAGAGUUACCCAUAAGUUGUUGGCGCAACCAGGAGGGAAAAGUUUCCAUGUGAUGACGGGUAAGCCAAGCAUCGGAUUUGGUCGGGUUUUUGGAAGCUACCAUCUGCCUGUGCUGCUCGAUAUACGGAGACACAAAGGAUGACUGUUGUAGAACAGUGUAGUGUGCCUUGUCGAACAAAUCAGUAUCAUUGCUCAAACUUGAUUUCCUUCCAAGGGUGCCCAUUCCUCGGAGCCUCCCCUCGUGGCGUGAAGUUGGAACCCCAAUCGAGUCAAUUGAAUCAAUAAAAUCAACACAAAACUCGAUCACCUCCUCUGUUCCAUAUCCCCUGGCGAUGCUUCCUUCUGGAUGGGCAUGAUUACGAACAUAGUUUUUUAGGACUGCCAUGAACCUCUCGAAAGGCCACAUAUUGUGCAGGUAUACAGGUCCGAGAAUACUAGGUGAACCAGUAAGUGUGUCAUAAUAUUGAAGAAGGAUGGUGGAAAUAACAACUCAAAACUGACAAGACAUUGCACCACAUCGUUCUGUAGCUUUGAUAGCUUGGAUGGAUCGAUUGCCUUCUGCGAAAUCACAUUGAGAAACGCGCAUAGCUUUACGAGCGGCAACCGGACAUUUUCUGGUAGAACACCCCUCAGUGCAACCGGAAGCAACUGGGUCAUCAACAUGUGGCAGUCAUGAGCCUUGAGAUUUGUAAACUUCUUUUGUUUCAUAUUUAUUAUUCCCUUUAUAUUCGAGGAGUACCCAGACGAGACCUUCAUACUAUUCAAGCAUUCAAACAUGCUAUCCUUCUCCUCCUUGCUGAGAGUGUAACUGGCAGGACGUAAGUAGUGCUGUCCAUUAUCUCUCUUUUUCGGAUGUAGGUCAUCUCGUUGCCCCAUGGCUUUCAGGUCCUGUCGUGCUUCCAAUGUAUCUUUUGAGGUUCCAUAAACACCCAUGAAGCCUAGCACGUUCACGCAAAGAUUCUUCGUCAGGUGCAUCACGUCUAUUGCGUUGCGAACCUCUAGGAUUUCCCAAUAAGGUAGCUCCCAAAAUAUUGACUUUUUCUUCCACAUGGGUGCAUGUCCGUUAUCGUCGUUCGGAACAGGUUGGCUACCAAGUCCCUUUCCGAAGACUACAUAUACAUCCUUCAUCAUCUCGAACACACGCUUUCCAUUACGGUGUGCAGGUUUUUUACGAUGGUCUGGCGUCCCUUUGAAAUGCAUCCCGCUCUUUCUCAGCUGGUGGUGAGCAGGGAGAAAUCGACGAUGACCCGUAUAGACGACCUUCUUACAGUGCUUCAAGUACAUGCUGUCUGUGUCGUCUAAACAGUGGGUGCACGCCCGAUAUCCCUUAUUUGUCUGUCCUGAAAGGUUACUCAAUGCAGGCCAAUCGUUGAUGGUUACGAACAACAGUGCUCGUAGAUUAAAGAUCUCUUGUCUAUCCUCAUCCCACACACGUACACCUUCUUCUUUCCAGAGCUGUAAAAGGUCAUCAACCAACGGCCUUAGGUACACGUCAAUGUCGUUGCCGGGUUGUUUUGGGCCUUGGAUAAGCGCCGGCAUCAUAAUGAACUUCCGCUUCAUGCACAGCCAAGGAGGAAGGUUGAACAUACAAAGGGUGACGGGCCAAGUACUAUGGCCACUACUCAACUCACCGAAUGGAUUGAAUCCAUCAGUGCUUAAACCAAACCUUAUGUUCCUUGCGUCACUUUCAAAGUCUGGGAAUGUUCUAUCAAUUGAUCUCCACUGUGCCCCAUCUGCGGGGUGUCUCAGCAUCUCAUCUUCCUUACGGUCUUCUUUGUGCCAUUGCAUCAACUUAGCAUUCGCCUUGUUCCUGAACAAGCGCUUCAAGCGUGGUAUUAUAGGGAAAUACCACAUCACCUUCGCGGGAACUCUCUUCUUGGGAGACUGCCCCUCGACAUCACCAGGAUCAUCUCGCCUGAUCUUAUACCGCAGGGCUUCGCAGACGGGACAAGCAUCCAAUUUCUCGUAUUCAUCACCACGAUAGAGGAUACAGUCAUUAGGGCAUGCGUGUAUCUUCUGAACAUCCAAUCCGAGAGGGCAAAUAAUCUGUUUAGCUUCAUAUGUUGUGGACGGUAAUUCAUUAUUCUCGGGGAGAAUCUUCUUGACAAUGUUCAACAUCCCCUGAAAUGCCUUAUCGGACACACCAUUUUUUGCCUUCCAUUGCACAAAUUCUAGUGUCGUACCUAGUUUUUUAUGGCCCUGCUCGCAACCUGGGUACAACAAUUUUUGGUGAUCAUCUAUCAUGCGCUGCAACUUUGCUGCUUCCUUCUCAGUUUCGCAAUCUCUGUAUGCAUCUCGUAUCACCUGACCAAGGUCAUCAGUAGGGUCAUUUUCUGCAAACCCAUCUUCAUCAGCCUCGCCCAUUGUAGUACCUGCAAAAGCUUGGCCUGCAACCCAGUCCGGAAUGGUGUCAUCUUCCUCCUCCUCCUCGCCAUCUUCCAUUACAACCCCUAGUUCACCGUGCUUGGUCCAAACCAAAUAGUUAGGCAUGAAACCGUAUUUAAACAAGUGGCUGUGAAUAGUCCCCCAGGAAUCCUUUGAAUACUCCUUCCUGUUAUUGCAUUGGAUGCAUGGACAACAUACGAACCCAUUCUCUGGCUUGUUCGCUUUUGCCACUUCAAGAAAAUAAUGCAAGCCAUCAAUAAACGCCUUGCUCCGCCUGUCUGCAUUAUACAUCCAUUGCCGGUCCAUCUGCAUCGUAUUACGCAUGAAAAUGGAUUACACUUGACAAUGGAUUACGCGUGAAAAUCGAUUAAAGAUCCAAACAACAUGGUACAAUACAACAACAUGAAGAUCCAAAUACACAUAUUUAAAUUAAAGUCCCAAACAACAUUAUACAAUACAACAAGCCAUCCACUGGUUAUUAUCAAGGAGGAUUUAAAGCAUCCUUGGACGGUGAAGACGAAGGUUCCGCUGACCCAACCUCAUCCUUAGGUUUAUUUGUGCCGCCUGAAACGGUAGUACUAAGUGGACGUGAAACACCCGGGACUGAGGGUGGAGCAUAACGACCACCAAAAGGAGGUUCCUGACCCGCGGCAACAGCUUCUUCAUGACGUUGCUGCAAAUAACGAAGCAUUGCUUUUUCCAGCGCGCUCUUUUUCUUCGGCUUAUGCUGAGGGCCAACUAUGAUUGGAACCUUGCCAUAAUAGGAACCACGAUCGCCCCCACCAUCGCCACUUCCUCCAGUAGCAGAAGCCAUCUAUGUACAAAAAUUAUUAUCUUAACACUGCAUAAGUUGUUCAACUUGAAGACCGUGAUCAUCUCGCGAGGAUGUCCUCAACUGGACGGCACCGCACUUCGUCAUUAAAGAGGUUAGAUGCUACGGAAAAGGGGACACGGUCACGAUGUCCGUAUUCACUCUUUCUCGUAGAAUCGAACCUCCCUCUUGACAUACGUUGCUGCUCGGCGGAGAACAUCCUCGGCGAGAUGAACAUGGUAUGCAAGUUCAACAAGUAGCAGAAGUCAUCUAUGUACAAAAAUUCUUUCCUUACCACUACAGAAGUUGUUGAACUUGAAGACCGUGUUCAUUUCGCGAGGAUGUCCUCAGCUGGGCGGCACCGCACUUCGUCAUGAAAGAGGUUAGAUGCUACGGAAAAGGGGACACGGUCACGAUGUCCGUAUCCACUCUUUCUCGUAGAAUCGAACCUCCUCCUUGACAUACGUUGCUACUCGGCGGAGAACAUCGUCGCAGAAAUGAACACGGUAUGCAAGUUCAACAAGUAUAUGGAUUUAAAAAACCAUAUUGAAUUUGAUAAGAUAAACCGUCUAGACAAGGUAUAGCAUCAUUUUUAAACCACUGAAAUAAUGCAUACUAUAUAUGACACAUCAAUCUCCCUCACAUUCUAGCUCAAAAUACCUCUCCAUUUUUCUACUUCAUCAUCACAUUGUAGCAAAUAAUCUUUCCAUCUCCAAAGCAUAAAUCAAAGCAUAACACAAGGAUGAAGUAGCAAACCUUCGCAACACUUGUUGGCUGAGUCAAAUUCCCACGAAAAUGAGGGAAAAAACUUCGGGCAGCACCUCCCUUGCUUGGGCACCACCGGAGAGUAGGUGAAGCUCAGCUCUCUAUCAAUGUGCUGGACUGGCUCGGGCUGGAGGAAGAAGAAAGUCUCUGUCUCGGGAUAUAGUGGGGGAUGAGUUUUUAUCCCGGUUAAAAACUCCAACCGAGACAAAAGGAAACACCUUUUGUCCCGGUUGGAAGUUUAUCCCGGUUGGAGGAUCCAACCGGGAUAAAAGGGUAUCCCGGUUGGAGGAACCAACCGGGACUAACCCUUUUAUCCCGGUUGGUGCCUCCAACCGGGAUAAAAGGGUCCCGCCACCGACGCCCCCCAGCUAGCCGUUGCAACCGGGACUAAAGGGGGGCCUUUAGUCCCGGUUGCAAUUACCAACCGGGACUAAUUCUCCCCUCCAAAUUUCCGCACCCCGGCGCACCCCCUUUUGUCCCGGGCCAACUUUAAACCGGGAUAAAAGGGGGCGGAUCGAAAGUCAGUUCUCUACUAGUGAAGGGAGAGGAGAGGGUUUUCGAACCCCAUAAUUCUCAUACCUUUAGUCUGGCAAUCAUCACACAUAGACCUUUUAACAUAAGAAUUAUUUCUUUAUUUACAUGGGCCACAUUUCAGUAAAUAUAAUUUAACAUU
RNAcentral lists this long non-coding RNA (52327 nucleotides) under Setaria viridis. RNAcentral's name for it is "long non-coding RNA (SVIR_LNC003113)". The record is from RNAcentral. Lineage: Eukaryota; Viridiplantae; Streptophyta; Magnoliopsida; Poales; Poaceae.